CGAUCUCAGAAGUUCGCUUUUUGGCUGAAGAUGAGUGUUUUUCAAUCCCAUCUUCAACUGGUUUUUUAGCCUUUUCAGUUUCAGGUCCCUUCCUCUUUUUCCCUGCGAAUACUUCAUCAAUCUCAGAAGUAGGUUUUUUGGCCGAAGAUGAGGCUUUUUCCUCUUCUACAGUAGAUGUAUUAUCUUGCAUCUCUCUGGGAGUUUUUGAUUUACUCUUUUUGCCCAUCUUAUGGAUCCAAAAGCUGCAUGUCAUCCAGAUUACAUUACUGAGAAUUGACAGAACAGAGAUUUAAAAAGAAAAAAUGGAAUGGAAACUUUCCAUCCAAGAACAGAUUACUCAAAAACUGGAGCCCCUGGAGGCAACAACUCCUUUUGGGUCAACUUGCCAGACUAACUCAGUUUGUAAACAAUCAAAACAACAGAAGGAACAUGAAACUGGAAAUUUAGGUUACAGGAUAUCUGCUCCUCAUUAGCUUCCUAGCAACCAAACAUAACACAAACGAAAAACAGAAAAUGGAAAAUACUGAUUUCAAUUGCAAUUUCUCAGCUUGUAGGCUUUCAAUUUUCAUAGAGACGAAUUUCUGUGAAACAUGGACUUGAUCAAAAGAAAUAGCCCAAUAAUUAUUACAAAAGCUCCAAUUUUGAGAACUCGACAACAUGUUCAGUGCUAUCGAAAAUUUGAUAAAUUUCAAACAAAUGCACUGUAAGUCACAGAAACAAACACAGGAUAGUAAAGAAAGAACGCACAGAAAAAUAAAAAAGAGUUCGAGUUGUUGGGAAGCGCUAACCUUUAGGUUGUUGAUAAACAGCGAGAAAGAGUGAGUCGCUAAAACACUAUCUUGAUGAAUCUGCAGAGAUACCAGCGAGCUUUGUUGCAGAGUUGCGAGCAACGAAGUAUAAAACCAUUUAUUUGUUUUUUGUUUCUGGCGAGCUUUUUAGCUAAAACCCUAGCUUGAUGUGGGAUAUAAUUCGUUCCCACGAUUUAUGAUUUAAAAAUAAUUUGGGUUUUGCAAUUAAAUUAGCCCAAUAAUAAUAAUCCCAUAGCCAAUCGGGUUUUGAUGGAAAAUGACAUUGACUUACAGUGUGUUUGGAUGAGGAAAUUUAAAAAUACAAAGAAUUUCAUAAAUGACGGAAUUUAAUGUUCUAGAAUUUACAAAGUUUCUUGUUUUGGUAAUGGAUUUAAAAUACGGAAUUUAACCUUUAUUUGUAAAGUUGUCUUUUUUAAAAACUCAAUCUCUCUUGUAAUUUUAAAAAUGACGACUUUUAGAUAGAAUUUAAAGUUGGGAUUUAUGAUCUCCAAAUUCUUUUUUUUUUUUCCCACGCUGAAUUUCUAAAUUUAUAUAUAUUUUUAUCCAAACACGAGAAUUGGUUCAUGGCAAUUUAGAAAUUCUAAAUUUUGUCAAAAUCCUAAGUUUAUUUUCCUCAUCCAAACGCACCGUUACAGAUAAAUAGCAAAUCAAUGGUCUCAUGUUCGAACCUUCGUGGCACCUUGAUAGUGUGUGUGAAAAACCUCACCCCUCUUGUAGUCGAGACUAUCACUUGUAUUCAAUAAUAAUAAUCCCAUAUGAAAAGGAGUUAAUUAUUUAAUAAAUGAAUCAUUUGGAUUAAUUUGGACAAUAUCUUAUUUGAACGAUUCUAUCAAAUUCCAAUCCAUUUUGUACAAAAUAAUAAGCUAAUCCAGCUCAACAUUCCAAUGGAAAAGGAAGAGAAUGGCUGGCUUUUUUUUUUUUUUGGGGGUUUGAGAAUGGCUGGCUUUAAUUUUAAGAGUAGCAUUGUGCAACCCAUAAAAAAGAAAGUCAAAGAAACAUAGCACAGGAAGAGGAGCCACAGCAAAUAAAAGGAUUGUGAUGUGACAACAAUUCAAGUAAUUUCCUUGGUGUUUAUAUUAUCGAUAUACAAAGAGUGUUCCAUUCUUAAGAAGCACAGCAGGUCAUAGUUAGCAUAACUUGUUCAUUUCAGCCUUUGAACUGCUAGCAUGGCUUGAGUUUCCUCAUUCCACAUGUGAAAAACCCCCACCUUCAGCCUUUGUCCUGCAAACAAGCACACAAUUGACAAACAACAAAACCACAUACAUCAGUUCUUUUCUCCACUGGUAAAUAGUCUCAAAUUCUUUCGACAAGACAUGAAACUCUACAUUUUUUUUACUGAUAAACCCACAAAAAGUAACCCACAUUUCUUUGAAAAAGACCAAAUUUUCCGUUCCUCAAGGAUAACGAAAGCUUACUUGUGAUCGGAAGGAUUUGGCCUGAGUUCAUAAACAAUUGUUGCAACAACAUCCCUCUUCAACUGUUCAUCAAAGAAAAGAAAAUGAUGUAUUAGUUAUUUGCACAAUUAACGCAACAGAAUAUGCUCAUAUGGAAUGAAAUUACCUGAGUAGCCUCGCCUUUAAAGCCAAUGUACUCUAUCUUAGUUGUAUCACCACCAAAACUAUCAGGAAAAUGCAAUGUGAUGCUGGCCACGUUUUGAAACUUGGAAUACCUAAUUAUACGGAGAAAUGUUACAUUAGAGGGAUAACAGAUGGUAAAAUAAAAAUCAAACAAAACAAAAAACAACAAAAGAACUCAUUUCAGUGGCAAUUCAAAGUAAUUUACCGUCACUGUUCAAUUUGAAAAAGAAUAAGGUUUCUUUCAUUGUGCUCAAGUUUUAUAGUUUUCAUGUUCUAGAAAAUUAAACAACAUGGUUUUUGAAGUAGUAGUACUCCAAAAGGCAGUGAAUAAAUACCUUGUCUGGUACUCCAACACUCCUUGAAAAUUUUCGACCAAAUCCCACUCCUUAAAACAAUAAGAACACAUGUUUCAAGGCUGAAACGUUGAAUUUUUUCAAUUAACUCUUGAACAAGCUAAUAUGAAAGCAAUACCUGAAUGGCUUGCAUUCCUUGAACAUCUGAAAAGUCAAUGCCAUCUCGGUUGAUGAACCUAAUUAAGCAAUGCAGUCAUGUUUUUAGUUUUUUCAAAUAUAAAAAAUGUGAUCGAUAUUGAACAUCUGUCAAAGACUGAUUUGAUAUUUAUUUUGUCAGAAUCAUAUAGAACAAGACUCGUGAUCAGUACUAUUAAAGUUUGAACUUACACCCUCAUCUUGCUAGGACUUGUUCCGUCAGCACCGCCAAUAAUUGAUAUGCUCUUGAUCUUGACAUCUGAUGUAAAUCUAUCACAAAUAAAUGAAAAAAAUAUAGCUCAAUCAGAAUGUAAAGAAACAACAUCAAAGAUGACUUCAUCUAAUAAGUUGGUGUCAGAAUGGUAUGCUUUAAGAAAACUUAUCAAGAUGCCGACCAAAUGUUUGAACAAUAAAUACAACUAUAUUAAGCAUCAGAUAUAGGAGAUGAGCACAAGACAAAAGGAUAAUUAUAAAUGACACACAAAUUAACAGUUGUGUUUUGCUUUAGGUGUACCUGGAGAUGCUACUAAGGUUGAAUCCCUUACUCAAAACUCAUACAAACCCAACUAUGGAGAUCUAACAAAAUCAGACACAUAUUAUCAUUGUAAUUGAAUGAAAAGAUGGAAAAAUGUGUAAAAGUACUCAACCAAUGGAUCUACCUGAUCCCAUGCAUUUCGUAAUUAUGCAGUCUAUAACUCAUUUCAUGAAGAUAUCACAUAAAACAACAAGACGGGACACUCACGGAAUGUAAACAAGUAACUCGGGAUCACCCUCAUUGCUCUCCAAGUGUUCCUGUUGCAGAAAGUAGAAUCAAAAUGAGGCUUCAUAUGCCUAGUAAUUGAACAUAAAUUACAACCAAAAUAUAAGGUAAACCUGAACUAAAUCUCAAUCAAUGAUUCCUACAAAUUUUCGUAAAUGUCAUUCUGAGCUUUCAAGUAGAUUAACUUAUGAAGUUUGGAUCAUUACUUUUAACAAGGACGUAUAGAGAAGUAAAUAGAUAGCUCAUUACCCCAGUAGAAUUCAGCCGUUGCUCCCAAGCUUUAAAAACCGACUUGACACUUCCUGGAACCGCCUCAUUCAAAGCCGAAACCUAAAAACAGAAUAAGACAUUCUCUCAAGGAGAACACGUCAUCAUGUCAAUCAGCAAGAGGAAGCUCCAACGAAAUAUUAAUUUACAAAAUAACAAAGUGUGAAAAUAUUGCAAAGUAUAAAUCACCCCACAUCAACAAUCAUCAAUUACCAGUCAUAUAGCCACCCACAACCAAACUGCCCAAACCACAACACACAAGCACCCGUCUCCCAAAAAAAAAAAAAAAAAAGUUUCUAAACAUUUCUGGAAACUAGCAAUAACAGCAUCUGCAUGGAGUAUCAUUAACAAAGCUUCAUAUCCAACUAUUUUCAUUUACAACCAAGAAGCCUACACAUAAGAACCAUUAUGCUUACGGAUAAAUGCUUAUGAGAUUCAGCAUUUGAGCUUGAGGGUUUAUGUUGAUCACUGUUCUUUCAACUAAUUUUCAUUUGGGCACUUCCAGAUAAAACCAAAACAAUCACAAAAUGGGAGCAGACUGAAACGUACCAGUAUACGCAGAGCAGCAGUGUGAUAGCUAACAACGAAAACAUAGGAAUAGAAAAAUUAAGACUGAGCAAAGAAAAAGGCAGAGAAAUAGGACCUUGGGGAGGUCUAUAUGCUUGUAGAGAGACCAAUCAGAAGAACAAUCAUGCUCUUCGCAGCUGUGGUCAUGUAAGCAAGCCAUCUCUCUCUUUCCCUGGAUCACCAAAUUUCUAAGAAGCAGCACAAAAAGGCGAAGAAGAAAUAGAAGCAACCAGAAAUAGGGAGCGAACCGUGGCUUUUUCUGUGCAUAGUGCCGAAAAGGCCCUUGUAUCGGUACAAUAAAACGCACCGUUUACCUGUACAUAUAUGUCCUUUUAGGCUUUUACUGUGAAAUGCAAACGAGACUGUUUUCGCAAAACUUUCUUCUUUGCUUUCAUUUGGGAAGUUCAGCUCUGAGCUCUGUGAGAGAUGGAGGAAAUAGUAGAAGGGGACGGGUCGGGUGCGGGCAGAUACACGCUGAGACCAACGAGGCUAAGCAACGAGGACAUUCUGUUCUGUAUAGAUGUUGACCCAGAGUCUAUGGUGGAGAUGAAAGCCGCGAUGGGCCCAAAUGGGCGACCUUUAACCCGCUUGGACUCGAUCAAGCAAGCCAUACUUGUCUUCAUCAACGCCAAGCUCACCAUCAACCCAGAGCACCGAUUCGCCUUUGCCUGUCUCGGAAAGUCCGCGUCUUGGGUAGGUUCUCUCUGUUCAUCUCUCUCUUUAUUGCUUGGUUUCUGUUCGGUUUCCGAGAAAAUUUGCGAUCAAGGGCAGAGGAUUUUAUGGUUAUUAUGUGUUUUUUAGGAAUUGAACUCCUGGAAACCAUGAUUAUGGCUUUGGGUCAUAGUUUUGAGGUUUUUUGUGAUAUAUACGGUUAUGGGUAGAUUAAAAUUUUCAUUUGCAGGAAAUGUAAGCAAUUGCGUGCCAUGAAUUUGGUUUCUGGAUGAAUCAAUGAAGGAAAAUUAGUUUAAAUCACUAUUUUCAAGUAGCCCAUUGUACAGAGUCUCACCAAGUCAAAAACGUUUUGAUAGCAUGAAAGAGUUUAGACAGAAGUGUGAAACCCACGAUACAAUAUGGGGUUGCUGUGCAUGUAUAUUUAUAAGAAGUACUACGUCGGUAAACAAGAUUUGGAUAUGAACACUACUACUGAGGAGGCUUAUCAGAGAAUACUAAUGAUGAACCCUUGAAAUAAAAUACAUGAUAAAUAUAAACAGAUAAACACGUGAGGAAACUAAGCAGGUAGCACUUCUAUCAGUUUUCCUUUGAUUAAGCUUUGGUCACUUUUAUUGAAUGCGGGUGAGAAAUCAAUUCCUUUACUAUCUGUUAAGGAGAUUUCGGAUCUUGAUCAUAGUUUCAAAGUGUACUUUCCAAGAAUCAUCCGCAUACCUUGAUCAUUUUUGGUCCUAGACUUAUUUUAUGGGGUGCAGUACCAAGAAUCGUUCACAUACCUUGCUGUAGGGUUGAGUUUUGAUGCAUGAUAUGCAUAAUUAUCAUGCAAAUACCCCAUUAGUAGUAAAUAUUUAUGCAGUGUAAGCAAACCUUCUGCAGGUCUUUGUUCAAAACACUCAAUUUAUCCUUUGUGUCUGUUUGUUUGAUUUAUGUUUCUGUAAUUGAUUUGGAACCUUUUGUUUUUCGUUUUUAUGAAGCUUCGGAAAGAGUUUAGCAGUGAAGUCGAUUCUGCUAUUGCUGCAUUUCGAGUACUCUCAGCUACUUCAUCUUCUAGUAAUGCAGAUCUUACCAGUCUAUUUCGAGUAGCAGCUCAUGAAGCAAAGAAAUCUCGUGCUCAAAACAGACUUUUAAGGGUGGUAAGCAAUGGUUGGCUUAACUUUUCAUGCAAUUACAUUGGUUAAUUAUUACAUCCGUGCCAUUGUGAUAUUCCAUCUUAUCCCUUCCAUGAUGUUGAAAUUUUUGUGUGUUGAUUGCUAAAGGCUGACAUGCUUGCCCUUAGAUUCUUAUUUACUGUAGAUCAUCUGUAAGACCAAAUCAUCAAUGGCCUGUGAACCAGAAACUCUUCACUCUGGAUGUAGUUUACCUUCACGACAAGCCUGGACCUGAAAACUGCCCUCAAGAGGUCUAUGAUUCACUUGUGGAUGCCCUGGAACUUGUUAGCGAAUAUGAGGGCUACAUCUUGGAGAGCGGUCAGGGAUUAACUCGAGUUCUCUUCCGUUACAUGUGCAUGCUGCUAUCACACCCUCAGCAGCGUUGCCCACAAGACCAUCUGGACAUACCUAAGCCUCUUGCGAAAAAGUUGCCGGCAGCAGAUUCAACGACUACUGAUGAUAGUAUUAUAACUGUGUCCGGCAUAUCAGAAGUUCAGAACAUUAGAAAUUAAUUUUACUGAGGUCAUUUUGCUUCUAAAAGUCUCAUAUGUAUGUAGUUUGUCUGAUGUUGAUGUAAACCUCUUGUUGAGUGAGAAUGAGUAGCCGAUUUGAUCUUGGUCCUAUCUGUCUGUACAAAUUGUGAAUGUUAUGAAUCCCAAUGUUUAUUUUAACCUAUCUGUCGAAGAAUUUUUUAUGACAUUCAAGAUCACGUAAAAUAUAGCAAAAGCAAGAAGUUCUUAGUACUAGUUUGUAUGUGUAUCCCCAUUAAUAUGAAGAGGGAGGUGGGAGCUGGCUUGCUACGCCGCGUCACACGGCACGCGGCAGCUAGGCAUAUUAGACGUCGAAGGAUUCUGGCAUUAAAUGUUAAGCAUUUAUAAACUUUGCCAAGGCUCAAAUUCUCCCAUAAGCAGCCUAAAAUGAGGAUGUUGUAAGUUGAAUUUUGCUACAUAGAACUACAUUCUCGGAAAACAGCUUAGUUGCCACUUUGCCAGUCACAUCACGAGACAUGUGUCGAAAUCUCCCCCGCUCGAAAAAAUAAAAAAUAAAUAAAACAAAAAAAAAAGGUAAGCCUUCCUCAAAGUCUAACGCUACUAGAUUGAAAGGUGAAAAAACUUGAUUGCAUAAGUAUACUACCCAUUGGUAUUGAUGAAAGACUUAUGAGGUUUGAAAUUAAAUCUUUCAAGUUCCCCGCAGAACCCUGCCUUGCCCUUUGGAGUGAGGCUAAGGUUUUCUUCUCUUAUUAAAAAAACCAAUCGACUAUUAUUUGCAUUCCCACAAAACCGUAUGACUCAUUGCUUCCAAUGGUGAGGUCAACAUAUUGGUAAUCAGAAAGAAAAAAAAAAUGCAGAGCUCGAAAAGUUGAAAUGAUAACCAAAAUCCCUCAUCCAUAUAAUUUUUUUUAAGUAGAAGUCAACUUGGAGGGAUGAUCUUAAUCACACAAAUUGUCUGUGACAUCUCUAGAAUUAGUUUUAGUAAUGAAAUAAAUCGUUUAACUCUUUCGCUCAAGAAAUCUGCCGGCAUGACGUGUCGCUUGUGCGUUCCUUGUCCACUUGUGCAUGCUUAUAUAUUGCUUGCACGAGUACAAAGAAAAACUCCAGUUUGAAAAACUUUUUAUACUAAAAAUAAACCCUAAGCAUUAUUAAAUUUGUAUUGUUUUUAAAGUUUGACCAACUGUUUUGAUCUUUUUUUCAUGAACUUGUCCAAGCCGUUCUGGCGCUCUUUAACUAUUAUUAGUCUUAAUAAUCUAUUUCUAAUUGUCAUGAGUCAUGACCAAUCUCCCUUCUCUGUAAAGUGCAUCAAGUUGGUCAUGUCAACUCAUUCUUUUCUUUUUACAAGUGAUGGUGGGGAUAACUAGGUUAACACUUAAAAUUGCUUCCAUCUUCACCUACUUGAAUGACAGAAGAACAUGGGCUCGUGCCUUGUGGGUCACUUAUCUUAUCUUAUUUAACUUUUUUUUAUUGCUUUUAGGUGAAUCGACUGCACAAUCUUAAAUGCAUGAAUGAAUGCUUUAAACUAUUUAAAUUACGAGCUCUUUAUUGUGUUCCUUAGACAGAAGUUAAAACCAUCAUGAUUUGCUGGUUUUGAGUUGGUUAAUUAGUGUUUACAUGGUGUGAAUGUAAAAGUAAAUGGUAAAUGGCUUACAUAGCAAGUUAGUUAUAUAUAAGUUAAAGAAGACACCUCUCAAGUGGUAUGCGAAUCUUGGGGUGGCAUAAAAUAAUUGAGAAUUUAUUUAAAUAUAGUCAAAUUAUUGAAGCUCCUUCAGCUCUCUGUGGAGCCACUUUAAUUUGCUCCAAUAGAUGAUCAUUUUGCUAACAUGUGCCCUUUAUAUUCAUGAUUAAAGAGAAGAGGACUUCAAAUGAACUUUGGACUAUAGGAGAUAGAUAGGAGGAGGAGGAGGAGGAGGAGAUAAAGGAAAAAUCCAUUUCCAGUUUUAAUGGGACUCUGCAUAUCUUCUUCAGCUCACAAAAUUCAGGAUGGCCAUGAAGCUCCAAUGUCCUUUGAAAGGACUGACGAUUCUAAUGGAAUUCAGAUGCACGGUUCCCUUUAUUCUUUGGAAGGAAGCAAAGGAGUAAACCAAGAUAGUGCCAUUCUUUACCAGGUUUGUGAAUAUUUCUUUCCCCUUUAUUAUAUGGAAGGAAGCAAAGGAAUUGUUCUGUGUGUUUCUCUAGCUGCUCAUUUCAAAACCAUAUUGUUUGUUUUUCGCUUUGUCUAUACAUAAAUAUAUAGAAUGGCAAGGCUUGUUUUCUUAGAAAAUCAUCAGCAAUUUCGUUUCAAAAGCAUUCAUGCAAAGCAUGUUGCAUAAUCGGGUUUCAUAUUAUUUUACUAGGCUUCUGAAAGUCUGUUGAUUAUAGCUUUAACCUCUUCUUAUUUUUCUUGUCUUUUCAAUAGGGCUAUGGAUUGGAAGCUGAAGCUUUCUGUGGAGUUUUCGAUGGACAUGGAAGAUUCGGGCACCGAGUGAGUCAGCUGGUGAGAAGCAACCUGCCAUCACUCUUACAAGGCCAGAUGAAAGCUCUUGAUCAACAAGCCAUUGCAGUAGCAGAGGAUGAUGAUUCGAAAAAUCACAUUGACAGAAUAGAAACCGAGUCAGAAGAUUCAGAACCAAGCAAGAAAUUUCACAAAUGGAAAGAAGCCUUUGUUAGCUCCUUCAAAGUCAUGGACAAGGAGAUUAAGCUUCAAGAAAAUCUGGACAGCUCUUGUAGUGGAACCACUGCUGUUGUUGUCAUAAAACAGGUGAGAAAAACUACACAUGAUCAUUGAACAAAUUAUUUAUCUUUCUUUAUUUCUUUGUGUUCGGCUUUAAUUCAAGAAUCAAACAGGGUGAGGAUCUUUUUAUAGCUAAUCUGGGUGACUCAAGGGCAGUCCUAGGAACCACUAGAGAGAAUGGAAUUGAGGCCAUUCAAUUGACCACUGAUCUAAAGCCUGCUUUACCUAGUAAGAAGUUCAUCAUUUUUUUCCAUUUUUUUCCUCUUGUUUAAUUUGAAGUGAUUAUCUGACAGGUGAUCGUUUUUAAUGCAGGUGAAGCAGAACGAAUAAGGGCGUGUGAUGGUCGAGUGGUUGCACUAAAGCAAGAACCUAACAUCCAAAGAGUGUGGUUGCCUCAUAUUGACCUCCCAGGCCUAGCCAUGUCCUGAGCUUUCGGAGACUUCAUACUCAAGGACCAUGGCAUCAUUGCCACCCCUGACGUCUCCUAUCGCCGCCUGACUUCCAAAGAUCGAUUUGUCGUUCUUGCAACGGAUGGGGUAAGCCCUAUUGGAAAUGAAAUGUGUACUUGUUAAGAGUUUUAGCGUUGCCAAAGAAAAAAGGGCACAGUUGCUUUCCUAUGAAUGGCAUUUUAACCACAAUGAUGCGUUUUGUUCUUGGGCUUGGUAUUUAGGUUUGGGAUGUGCUCAGCAACCUUGAAGUUGCAUCCAUUGUGUGGGAAGCUGAUAGUGCACAAGCAGCGGCAAAGGCGGUGACGGAGACUGCGGUGGCCACAUGGAGAAGGAAGUUCCCUUCUGCUAAGAUAGAUGACUGCACUGUGGUUUGCUUGUUUUUGCAAGACAAACUACAUGAUCAUGUUGUGCCUGUAAAGAUAUGAGCUUUUGAGCAAUGCUUGUUGCUUUGUGAUCUUUUUUUAUCUUCAUACAUUUUAACACGACACUAUACUUUUUCAAUUUCUGAUAAGCUAUACUUUUUCAAUUUCUGAUAAGCUACCCGUCCAAUUAUGUACAUAAGCCCACAGGUUCCAUUUUUGGUUAAGACAACAGUUGCUUUCAAGAAUAAAUUUUUGGUCAAAUCAUCCGCCAGUAAAUGAAAUCUUUCAAAACCAAACAGAACCAUUGGCAACCUUCAAAAUGCUCAGUAAAUUUUCAAAAUGUCCACGAAUAAACAAUGAUGUUUUGAUUUGUUUUCUCCAGGCAAUUCUAGAAAGACAUCACAGGGCUAGAAAUUCAUGAACAUAAAUAUAAUAAGACUUGACAUAGUGGCAAAAGGCAUUCUUGAAAUUUCAUUGAAAUGCUUUUAAUCACAAUAGGAUAAGGCCGAUAAACUUCAGUUAAACUCUUUAAUAGGGGAAAAGAAUUAUGUUGCCUCCAGGCAAACGAAACAAAAGAGAACUUUCUGCAUAUAAAAACCCCAUUUGUGAGUAAACUCAAUGCCUACCAUCUGGAUGAAAAAAUAGAAACAGAAGAUCCCGGGCGAAUAUAAAUCCAUUUCCUCUAAUAUUCAAGUGCAUCAUCUUUGGGCGCCUCUCCAAGCAGGUCAUCAUCAUAUGAAACAGGUACCCUUAACCUAUCAUGAACAGAAAGUUGUUUCCCUUCAGUAUUUGACUGAAUGCCUUGAGUUUGCAUUUGACAAAUAACCGGUACGGCAUCUGAAAUAUUAGCUGGAGUAUCAUCCUUGAAUGAAUUCACAAUUGCUUUAGAUGAACCUUCUUUCCCUUGCUGUAUUGGUUGUCUAUUAUUUGUUGACCUGAAUUGCUUCUGCAUGGAGAUAGAAAACAUAAAAAGUAAUCAACGAUGCUGUAGUUUUACACUUUUUCUAAUAAAAGUGAUAUUUAAUUGACGUUUGGGAAAUAACAUCAGAAACAACACUAUGAAUCUAUGAUCCACUACUGCGCACCUCAAAUUCCCUUCCUUUUUUCAUUAUCUCUUUGUAGGCCUUUGGUUCUCGUGCUUUGAUGAUACUCCAUAGUACUCCACCACCAAAUCGGAAACGUUUGCCAUCAUGAGUCAUCUGACCUCCACAAGCCUGGAUCGCAUCCACCUGAAAUUUUUCAUCAUUUCACAAAUGAUAUCCUAGAUACACCAUGGUUUCUAGCAGGGAAAAAGUAUCCAUUCUCCUGAUACUGGAUUCCAUCCGGACUACAAAUAACUAAUAUACGAGAAACAUAGAAACACUUGUAACAACCACAUUUAAUAAAAUUCAGAAAUUACUUAACUAAGGAUAUCGUUCCCUACAAUCAAAGUAAGCUCAAAGAUGUUCAUAAUCACAAAAGUUUCUGUAAACCAUCUCCGGAUAGAGCUUAUGGUUCCUGGGGGAGGAGCAAACAUGAAUGAUGAGCUUUUUGGAGCAAAAAUAGAUGUGUAUUGCUUUGUUACGCGUAUCUAUUAGAGUACUCUUACAUGUGUUUUGCAUGCAUAUUGGCUAAUGCAACUCCAAGAAAAAAUGAUAUCAACCUACACAAAUAGCAUAUGAUGAAGUGGUUCAUCCAGGGGACAUCACAGCUCAGAGCACAAGAUUGAAAGGAGUAAAAUGGCUUCUGCAAGAGAAAUCUGCAAGGGUAGGGAAACAAUAUUGAGGAUCAGAAAUUAUGCAAGGCUGCGUGGCCAAAUAGUGUGCAUAAGCAUCGGCAGCUCUAAGCUGGUCCAAAAUUAAGCAACCCAGAAUCUCACCUUCCCUUGCAAAAGGCCAGUCGAAUCAUUCAAGUCCACUCUCAACAAAGGAUACCCUGCCUUCCCCUUGAAGCUAUAAUGUGAAGGGAACUUAAAAAGGGACAGAUGGCUCAGAAGGUAAAGACAACCUUAAAAGUACCCCAUAAAGCAUAACCAUCCUCCCAAUAACAGGACCCCCAAUUAGCAAAAAAACCAGCGUGUUCAAGAAUCUAUAGAACAGAAUUGGCACAGACAAUAUGAUAGGUGAUUUUUAAUUGACAUCACUGAAACCCAGCUCUGAGUGCAAAUCCCAUGUUCUGAACAUGAGCAGCAAGGUCGGAUCAUCUUAAAGCUAGAUGUGAAGCGGAGUCAAGGCAACCUUAAGAAGUACCCAUAAAGCACGCCCAGACACAACCCAUUCACCCAAUAACAGGAUUACCAUUAGCAGAAAGACCAAGAGUGCUCAAGCAGGUACAUAAUAGAAUUACUUUGAACAAUAUAAUAGAUGAUUUCAAUUGAGAAUAUCACUGAAAACUCCACUGAAAGGUAUUGGGCACAAAGCACAUGUUCUUAAACUGACAGCAAGGUCGGAUCAUCUAAAAAUGCACAUUAAUGCAGAUAAACAUGUACCAAAUUUACAACCAGUUGCUAAUGGCGUCUGUCAAGGAGAUUUUCAGAAGACAAUUACAAAACAUAAUGCAAUGCACACGUAGUUGCGUAUAAAAGAUAAAGAAAACAAUCCCCAAGUUAUAUAAUUUGCUUUGUCACAGCAUUUCCACAAAAGCACACAACGAAGGGCAGCAUACCUCUUUGACGAGAUCAUUCAAUGCAAGAACACCCAGACAACCAACAGCAGUAUAUACCAGAUAUGAUUUCUUCUCUUUCAGUCGCCUACAUGUAUCCAUCACAAACCUGAAAAAGACAUAACAUUAAAAGAAUGUAAAAACCCACAAGAGAGCUCCAAAUUCCUUUUGAAUAUAUGUAAUUUCUUUCGUUCUUAAUCGGGCAGGGCAUAACCUGUCUAUGUCAGUGACAUUAAUUCCAGGGCCACUGUUCCUUCUCCUAUUCCUCUUCUUCUUACCCCUGCGCUUCUGAUUCUUGCCCUGACGUUCUUGGUUUGCUACACUGACAUUGCCACCACUGAUCUGUCCCGAACCAUUUUGUGAGUUAAAAUCCACAAGCUCCCCUUCUUCCACAAGCUCUCCUUCUUCCACAUCAAGCAUCUCAACAUCUUCGCCAUCUUCAAAGUUAUCGUCUUCAAAUACUGCGUCUAGUAUGUUGUGUUCUCCUUCCAUAUAAGGUUUUCUUCAAUGGGGGGAAAAAACGCACCACAAAAUUUAUAAGCACCUACAGAGCAGAAAGCAGGAAGAAAACACGCAGAUUUCCACAGACGAGACAAAAACUGCAAACUCGUGCAAAUUUUCUCUAUGGCAAAUCACCAAACAGAUUAUGCGAGCCCUAACCAGAAAAAAUCACAAGUACAACGAAAACAAAAAAAAAAACGUAAAUAAAUAUUUUUUUUAAAAACCGAUGUACGAACCCUAACAAUGCAAAAACAAACACAGCAAUUCAAAGCUUAUGGAAUUUUCCAAUUAGAGUGCUCUGCUUAAGGACGAUGAAGCAUAACCGCGGCUUUUGGCGUUUGGUUGAUCAGAGGACUGCGUUUCGCUGGUAUGGUCUUUAUAGUGAAGCCUAGAUGAGCGCUGGCGGUAAUCAGUAAUGGCUUGUUUGGCUGCGUGGCAAACGAUGAUAUUAAUCCGGAUUGGGUUAUAGGUGGAAAGGCCCAACCCAAGGACGCUUUGCUUAUCUGUACUGAGCGAGCCCAAAAUGGCUGAAACUUAGUCCAUCCCCAAUCUAUUAGUGAUAUUUUAUGAUUUGUUUUUGUUGAAUACGUAAUUGUUAGUAGGUUAUCUGUCGACGUUUGAUUUCUUUUCAAUAGUGGGCCAUACGUCAUUGGCCAAUCCGUACGAGUCCACAACAAAACUGAGUUGAUGUGGAUUGUUGAGUGUGAAAUUUUGAGGAGUAAGUUUUGGGUGAAAAGCUCGGACCACGUAAUCUAUCUGUCCAACUGUUUUCAUAAGAGGGUAUAAAUUUUAUUGAGCGCCUGUCGGACGGAUGACAUGGUUUUAGAGCAAAGCCAAGCCCAACCUCAUAUUCAGACACCAUUGAUUGGAACGGGUAUGAAGUGGAAAUACAGGCCUUCCUUUAUCUUGUUCAGCAAGCAAUGGUGCAUUUUUGUCCUGUAAUUCAUAAAUCUAAUAGAUGCCCUUUGUCUGCAUCAUCACUUUUGUUGUAUUCUUUAAAUUAUACCUACCUUGUUUUCUACCUAUUCAAACGAGGGGAAGGUGGGCAUGAUUGGUACCAAAGUUUCAACCUAACGUUCUUCAACAUCUAGUAGCUUUUAUAUUAUAAAGUUAAAAGAAGAAAAAUACAAAAAGAAAACUCAUUAGAGCUUCCAGCUCUUGUUUUGAAUGAUGAUAGAUUAAGUCUGAUGUUGGGUUGAAAUAUUCUUUAUUAUGGCUAACUUAGCAUUGAUGUGCUAUGAAAAUAUACGCUGUUAGAUUUAUUGUGAGAAAAAUCAACAGUGAGAUAAAACAAUUUGGUGUUUGAUAAAAAAACAAAAGGGUCCCCACUUGCUCUAACAACAAAAAAACUAAAAAUCUUGCAAGUUAACUAAAGAAACUGUAUUCUUUAAUAAAUGAAAUUUCCCGUUAUUAUCUAUAUAUAUAAAGCAAAAGGCAGAGAAUGGUGAAACAUUCAAAAUACCAGAAAAUACCCUUGGUUAAUGCAAAUAUUAAGAAUUGAAAUUAUUAAUUAAAUGAGGAUAAUAUGGUAAAUUCACAAUUUUUCGUAUUAAAAAAAUUAAAAUUAAAAGAAAAUUCAGAUAAUGGAUCCUAUUUUUAUGGAACACAAAUAUCCAUUAUCUUUUUUAAUUCUAAAAUAAAUUUAAAUUUUUUUAAAAAAAAACCUCUCGCAUGCGCAGAAGCGCGUGCAGAGAGGCUAGUAUAUAUAAAGCAAAAGGCAGAGAAUGGUGAAACAUUUAAAAUACCAGAAAAUGCCAUUGGUUAAUGCAAACAUUAAGAAUUGAAAUUAUUAAUUAAAUGAGGAUAAUAUGGUAAAUUCAUAAUUUUUCGUAUUAAAAAAAUUAAAAUUAAAAGAAAAUUCAGAUAAUGGAUCCUAUUUUUAUGGAACACAAAUAUCCAUUAUCUUUUUUAAUUCUAAAAUAAAUUUAAAUUUUUUAUAAAAAAAACCUCUCGCAUGCGCGGAAGCGCGUGCAGAGAGGCUAGUACGAAUUACGGGUGAAAAAACCAGUGGAAUUAUACGGCGCCAACACUGUAAUUCCCGCAAUAAUACGGUGCCGACGUGUACGCUCCAGAUUGCACCCCUUUCCAAUUAAAGAGUGAGCUCACUGGGGCCCGCAAUCAAUCAUCCAAGUCGCAUUGAAAAAGAGAACCCACGUGGUCACCAAUAAAUAUCAACUCCUCCUCCGACCUUCGAUCUUUGUGUUAUAUGUCAGCUCCACCAAUCAGAUAUCCUCAUACCAAUUUGACCGGAAACCGCCAUGACUCGGUUGGCUAGCGCCGUCGUCCUGUUGUUCCUUGUCUCCCUCUCCAGUUUCGCUGCCGGUAGCCGGGACCUGAUCGGAGACGUUUUACGGUUACCUUCUGAAGCUUCUAGAUUCUUCGGCAGAGGCGAUGACGGCCCUGAUGAGCAAGACGACGGCACCGUGGGGACCAGAUGGGCUGUUUUGAUCGCUGGCUCAAAUGGAUACUGGAAUUACAGGCAUCAGGUCUUAAUUUUACACGAUAUCAUCUUUCUUAAUUCAGAAAUAUUCUUUUUUGUUAUCAAACUUCAGUUGUUAAUGGAAUUUGAGUUAUAAUUUUGGAUGUUAAUUUCAAUUUUUUUUCCCUUCAUGUUUUUUGAAUUGUUUGAUAUCUGAAUUUGGGUAACCUCAUAUUGGAAAGUUUAUGCUUGUAUAAUCUCGUUUAAAUUUGACUUUCAGCUUAUCCAAUUUCUGAUUCUUUUACCUUGUUGCUUUCGAAUUUGUCAAACUAAAUUUUGGAAGCUUAGAGUUUGUUUUGGAACUAAUAUGAAUUUAGCUCAAGCUUGUGUCUUUCUUAUCUUCCUUGAUCUCAUCUCAUUUUGACUAAGACAGAGUUUUAAAUUUACAUGUGGCUUGAGUUUGUUUUGGAACUCAUAUGCAUUUAGUUCAAGUUCGUUUUAUUAAUUAUUAUAUUCCUUGAUCUCAUCUCAGUUUGAAACUUUGACAUGGAGUACAUGAUCUCAACGUUAACCAUAUUUGUAUAGGAGCUGGAUUUCUGUGUCAGGGGUGAAAUUGAUACUUUUGUUGUGUCUAUAUCUUCAUAUGAAUGUCAAUAAAUAUCUUAUUGGUUUCACAUAUUUGAAAGCUAAGCCACCCUCAUUUCUUGAUUGAUGUUUAACACGGACCUUUUUAUCUUGUUUGUUUAGGCUGAUAUUUGCCAUGCUUAUCAACUACUGAAGAAAGGUGGGCUGAAAGAUGAAAACAUUGUUGUAUUCAUGUAUGAUGAUAUCGCUUAUAACGAAGAGAACCCUAGGCCCGGAGUCAUCAUUAACAGCCCACAUGGUGAUGACGUUUACAAAGGAGUCCCAAAGGUCUGUUAUCUUCCCCUCUAGGUGUUUACCUGCUUCUGAAUUGAUAGUUAUAAUUCCCCUCAUGCGGUCGAUUUUACGGUGGCAGGAUUACACCGGCGAUGAUGUUACUGUUAACAAUUUUUUUGCUGCUAUCCUUGGAAAUAAAACUGCUCUUACAGGGGGUACUGGGAAGGUUGUGGACAGCGGUCCAAACGAUCAUAUUUUCAUUUACUAUUCUGAUCAUGGUGGUCCUGGAGUUCUCGGUUAGUAUCAAUUCUGCACAUGACAAUACUGACAUUAUUUUGCCCACAUCCCCAUAUCUUAUCUACUUACUCUUUCCCUAGGGAUGCCUACCAGUCCAUAUAUUUAUGCUAACGAUCUAAUAGAAGUCCUGAAGAAGAAGCACGCAGCAGGAACCUAUAAAAGCUUGGUAAGUUUCUAGUUGAACUGUAAAUAGAUGCUGCAUAUACCAAUAGAGUUGGACUAAUUCGUAGAACUGCAGGUAUUUUAUCUUGAAGCUUGUGAAUCCGGAAGUAUCUUUGAGGGACUUCUUCCUGAAGGUUUGAAUAUCUUUGCAACUACGGCAUCAAAUGCAGAAGAGAGCAGUUGGGGGACUUACUGUCCAGGAGAGUAUCCUAGUCCUCCCCCGGAGUAUGAAACCUGCUUGGGUGACCUGUAUAGCGUUGCUUGGAUGGAAGACAGGUAUGCAGAAUUAUUUUAUUUUGUUAAAUUUUCAAUAAAGGGGUGGGAAGAAAAGCAGCUUAAUGUUAGCUUCAUUUUGCAUACCCUUGGUAAAUAAUAACAAUUUCAUCUUUCCCUAAAAGUGCAUUACUUCUUGAGUAUUGUCACUUUAAGAUUUGCCUCAAAAUAUGAAGAAUAUAUGAAUUAGGUAGAAGUUUGAAACUGUAUCAUUUCAUGCCAGUUGUUUUUUCUUCUUUAAUUCUUGCACUGGUGGUGUGGGUGUUUGGAUUGUCUUUGCAAGAGCAGUUUCUUUCUCAGGUUGGAGAAUGAAACUGUUCAAAUUAUAAUUUUCAUUUGAGAUUUAACAUUUUGACCUUGUGAACAGUGACAUACACAACUUGAGGUCGGAAACUUUGCACCAACAGUAUGAGCUGGUAAGAAUUCGUCUCUUAACACAUUGUUAUGGAACAGAUAGAGAUUUUUUUUUCUUCUUUUGUACAGGAAAGACCAGCUGUUUAUUAUUGUAUGUUUAAAUAAAAGAGAUUGUCUGUAUUUAGAGAAGUCUUGGGGGUCUAGCCAAGAAAUAUCUAGAUGUGAUCCUGCUAGUUGCUAAUGUCAGUUCUUUGAUUUCAUUAUGAUGGCCCAGGUUAAAACGAGGACAGCAAAUGACAAUUCUGGCUUUGGUUCUCAUGUCAUGCAAUAUGGCGAUGUAGGGCUCAGCAAGGAAAACCUCUUUGUGUAUAUGGGGACAAAUCCUGCAAAUGAUAACUACACUUUUCUGGGCGAGAACUCCUUGAGGCCAUCUACAAAAGCUGUCAACCAGCGGGAUGCUGAUCUUGUCCAUUUCUGGCAUAAGGUUAACUCUUACCUUUUUCAUCCGUGAAUAGUUAUUUUGCCUUUUCUUUUAAAUAUCUAGUCUUAAAAUUUAUGUACUAGUCAUCAUCGGUACUUAUAUUUGGAAGUAUUUCAUACUGUUAGAUAUUAUGAUUGAUUUGAUUAAAAGUCAGGAGAGAUCAGUAAUGAUGAUUGGGGAAUACUCCAUGUUUUCAUUGUUUAAACGGUAACAUAUCAUAAGUACCAUGGAGGUUUUGGAACCAUGCCAUUUGCCCUGCUCUCCUGUGAAGCUCCAAACAAAGCAGUAGAAUAUCUCUGCUUGGAACAAGAAUUUUGAAUACCAAAAAGGGAAUGAAACCAAGGUUUUGAUUAAAUAAAAGCCUUAAUUGUUAUGAAAAUCUAAGGUUCUACUUCUGAAUAUUCUGUGGUUUUGUAACUAUUUCUGUGUGUUAGCUGUCAGCCUGAAGAUCUAAGCCCCUUGUUUUCCCUUCUUUUCUUUUUCUGGAUGCAGUACCGCAAAGCUCCUGAAGGCUCACCAAGGAAAAUUCAAGCUCAAAAGGAUUUUGUUGAAGCAAUGUCUCAUAGAAUGCAUAUGGAUCAAACCAUGAAACUUAUCGGGAAACUCCUGUUUGGAAUCAAGAAAGGUCCAGAAGUGCUCAACACUGUUCGACCUGCUGGGCAGCCACUUGUUGAUGACUGGGACUGCCUUAAGACAAUGGUAGUACUUCUGCUGUUCAUUUUCUCCUUAAUGCUGUUAAAACUUUUCUGAUUCCAUCUUGUUCUGCAUAUAAAACAGAUUUUCACAAAUAAUAUAUGUGGCUGUGCCUGAUGGGUUUGUGUGUGCAGGUGAGGAGUUUUGAGACAUAUUGUGGAUCCCUAUCUCAAUACGGGAUGAAACACAUGCGGUCCCUGGCAAACAUCUGCAACGCCGGAAUGACAAAGGAGCAGAUGACCGAGGCUUCAGCACAAGCCUGCACGAGCGUUCCUUCUAGCCGUUGGAGCUCCCUGCACCGGGGGUUCAGCGCAUGAUUUCAAGAAGAAGAAAAAAUGUGGGAUUUGAAUAACCAAUCCGUGGUCAUCUCUAUAUGCAAAACAUAUCUUAGGAUGCAUUUCGAUUAUUGUUAAUGUUAUUCUGAUUGCUUCAGUGUAACCUUGUGUAAAUACAACUCAAGCCCCUGUACUGUAAUGCACGUACCUACUGAAUCUUGUAAGUAAAUAUUAGCAUGUUUGUUGCGUAUGAAUACGUACCUGUUUGCUGCAGCUGGUGUACGCAUCAGGCUCUGGUUAUAAAAAAGUUUGCAAUUACGAUAUGCCUUUGUUUUAUGUUCACUUUGGUUGCUUCAUUAAGGAAGUGAGUGGCUUGUCUCCAUCUCCUUCACCACCACCACUAACAGAACAUAAUUAUCGCGUAACACUUUCAACUUUAUGUCUAUUUGAGUUAUUAUUUACAAUUACAAUUUUUUUAUAUUAAAAUUUAUCAAAUAAUUUUGACAAUGCUUUUUGUACUAGCACUUCAAAAGAAUUAUUUAUUAAACAUGAAGUUGCUUUACUUUACAAUUAAUUAUUUUUAAAGCACAAUAAAAUUAAAUUUUUUAAAAAAGUCACAUCAAUCUCAAAUUCCCCUUCUUUCUUGUCCGUCUCCAAAUGGUAAACUGGUAAUCUAGCUUUUGACCCCCAAAAAAAUGGAAAUCUAGUGGGCCUUUCAUAAGAUAAUGUCAUUAUCAUUGUGUGAGUAUAUUCCGUGUAAUUGAGUAAUGAAAGAUAUCGAUCGCGUUGGGAAUUGGGGAAAGUUAGAAAUAUUUAAGAGACGGAUUUACUCCCUCAAUUAAUGUAAUUUAUGGGUUUUCAAGAAUUAAAUGACGGAUUUUAAUGUGGAACACACAUAAAUUUGUAUACCUGAUGUAAAUUUAAGAGUUGGAAUAAUUUUAAUAUCCAUUAUAGGCAAAUGAACAUGCCAUGCUAUAGGUGUGUGCCCAAUUUCAUUGUGGAGAACGUAGCCGUAGGAGAGCAUGCGUCCAACCCCAAAUUCCCUUUCUUCCUCACCUUGCUCCAACCUGUAGCUGCCAAAAUGUAGGUAAGCAACAGCCUACAUUACGGGUCCAAUAAUGUACAAUUUUGGCAAAGUCCAAUUACUUUAAUGAUGGAAUGAUUGUAUAGUUAAAUCUUACUUAAUAAGAUAAGAGUGAGAGUCAAAUUUAUACGGUGCAUAUUUAUUUCAUGUGUCAAUGCCAAUUAUAUUACAUAUUUUAAUUGAAUAAUACGGACCAUUUAACUUGACACAUGCAAAAUUAUAGAUGAGCUUGUAAUUGUAACAUUAAGAUUCACACAAAAAACGAAACUCACAAUAUUUAGCUGAAUGGAAAAUGUUUUCAAGAUGCAUCUAUCAUAAGUUCUAGCUGUGAACAUUAUUAUAUGGCAGUGUCCCAUCCCAUGGUCUCCCCAAGACUCACAACCCAACAUUUUCUUUUUCUUUUUCUUUUUCUUUUAUUUUUUUAUUUUUAUAAAACGCAACCCAACUUUAAAAAUAUGAUCCAUAAUUGCAUAUUGUCAAACCAACAGUGAAAAAAAAAAAAAAAAAAAGGGAAGCAGGAACCGACGCUCUAGAUUCAACAAUUUUAUUUGGUCAACACACAAAUAUUUAAGCUUGGCUUAUAUACGGUCUAUAAUCGGCCACAGGAACCGGACAUCAAGGACAAUUGUCUGAUAACGUGAAAUCCACGACUCUGGUUAAACUUACCAUGGUUAGUUCACUAUAACCAUACUACAACGAACCGGUUCACCAGAAAAAUAAAAUUAAAAAAUUAAAAAAUUAAAAAAAGGUAAAGGAUGAAUAAAAAAAUAAUUGGGUAAUGCAAAUUAUUGCCACUUAACGGAGUAGUAGAUUCUGUUAGAUUCAUUUGACGAGGCGAAGAGGGGGCGCAUAGUAAGAACGUUGUAACGAGGUUUAAAAGAGACGGAGCUGACGGUUUAAGAUAGGGAGACGCGGGAGCCGUUGGAUUGUUGAUCAAGGGCCGAUAAUGCAAGGCGUUGGACGGUUCAAGUGUGACGGAGAGUGGGAGGGGUCGUAUAAAGCCUGGGUUUUGAAAGGUGAGAGUGCAUUUCGUUCCAUCAAAACAAGAAGAAGAAAGAGGAAGAAGAAGGAGAAAGAGCCUCUCUGACGUUUUGGCCUUCGGUUUUUCUUCUGCUUUAGAAUUUAAAGAGGAAUUCGGGAGAGAAUUCGUAGAGCUGGACUGUGUGUAAUGUUAAGGAUCUAAUUACGAAGCUUUUCUGUGAGCCUGUUGUGUGUUCGCGGGAGAGAGAAGGAGAGAAGAGCUUGCAGAGGUUGGUGAUGGAGAAAACAGAGCUCGAUUUUGGUAGUUUUAAUGUAAUCUGAUUUCUUAGAAUGACCGGGUUAUUUUGUGCAAUUUCUGUUUUGCAGAUACAUUCAGAAGAGCUUUUGGAGGAAUUUGAAGUGAAAUCGAUUGCGAUUUGCUGGGAUAAUUUCCAAGGUGGACCUCAUUUCAUUGAAAUUUACAGAGAAAAGGUCGAGAAAUCUAGUUUAGAGGUGAGGGGAGUUGGAUUUGCUUAAUUUCCUAAACGAUUUCACUCCCUUAUUCUAACUCAUCGUUCGUUUGAUUUUGGUUUCACAGGUACAUUUCCCGGAGAUUUGACCCCUUUUUUUUGAAGAAAUCUCAACUGGGGUAUGAGAUAAAGAAGAACAAGCAUCUCUCAUUCAUGAGUGUCAGGGACAUAGGCUCUAAGUUUCAAUCAUUUCGUUGAUUUUCGGCUCUAGAUUUGCAUUUUGCAAAGUCAGAAGGCCUAGAAGAGCAAGAUUACCCAAAAGAAGCAAACUUUCUUUUGCAAAUUCAGGAUUGUAGCUGCUUGCGAAAUCUCAGUAUAACAGGUGAGGAUUCAUUUUCCGAAUCCUAGAUCAGUGAAACCAAGUCUCGGGCUUAGGAUUUCACUGGCUGAUUUGAUUUCCUUCCAUUUUCGGUUCUUCGAAUUUUGAUAUCUUUCUACUCAAUUUGGUUUCUUCAAGGAGGCUCUCACUUUUCUCUUCUUUUUCCUCAUCUGCAGCAGAGUCCAAGCAAUUGGUUUCUCUGUUUUUUGAUUUUCGAUGUUCAAAAGCAGAUAACUUUGCAACAGAAUUUUAAGCUUUUCAAAUGAAGCCAGCCGAGUUCCUUGACUCUCUCUCUCUCUCUCUCUCUCUCUCUCUCUCUCUCUCUCUCUCGCUCGCUGGGUCUUACAUUUGGAUCCAUCAUCUUUGUCCAUCAUCUUCUUUCAAUUUUCUGUCAUCUGCCUUCUGUGCAAGAAUUUUCAAUUUCAAAAAACUAAUUGACCUUUAUAUUUGGGAAGAUUAUCUCUUCUUCUUCGUCUUCUUCUUCUUCCUCUCCUCCUCCUCCCCAUUUUAAAGGCUUUUAAUAUAUUUUUCUGAAUGAUUUCCGUCUGUAUUAUCAGCAUUGAAAAGAAAAGACCUUCUCUAUGAAAUUUUACCCGCUGUUUUGUGAAAAAUCUAUCUAUCUUUGGUGUUCUUUGCUGGCAGUCCGAAGUUUGUGUCUUUUCCGAAAUUCAAACACCAGCAGAGUGCAAAAUCUUCUGUUUGGUUCUCGGGAAACUGAUACAAGAAAAAACUGAGCUAACAGACGUAAUUGCUCAACUUAUUUAAUCGCAAUUCGUUGGAAGCGUCUGAUAAAAAAAAUAUAUAUAUAUAUCAAAGAUACAAUUUUCAUUCUUUGUCCUUUCCCUGCCUUUUUUUUUUUUCGAUCUUCAUCUUCUCCGUCUGUUUGGGUAGGCCCUGCUUUUCAUUUGAAUUUUAUUUUUAGGCACUCGCAGUUGCAGAGAGCCAGCCACAAUCCAAUUCCAGAUUCUCAGUUUUUGCCAUUUCCGUCCCUAACUUUAAUUAUGAGCAUUAACCGCGGUUAAAGUGUAAAAAAUCAUGUUAACUAACUAACCGCUGUGAUUAAUUCUUGUUUUGGCAUGGGUGGACAGGUGUACAAAAGGAGAUGGAAAGGGACUGUCUUAGGCACACCCAUACUAAAGACACCCACAAUCCCAACACUCGAGACAAAACCGGAGGGGACGCCUCAGCCUCUCUGCUGUUGAGAGCGAGCCCCGAUGCCAUACGACACGCAACGACGUCGUCCGAUUUCGUUUUGCAGUGGGGGAACCGCAAGCGCCUCAGGUGUAUGAAGAUCCAGGUCAAAGACAAGGGCAAAGACGACUCCGACGCCCCGGUUACCCGAACCACAGUCCGGGUCGACCGCCGGGUCGUCCGACCUGAUAAGGACCCGGCCAAUCAGCCUUCCACGGCCGGUAACUCUAAUCAGACGAAUGGGUAUUUGAAUCUCCGUCAACGGCCGUUAUCUCCGCAGCAGCCGCCACUUCAGCGUGUUCUCAGGUUACCACUUGCACUUCACGCUUUUGCUUUAUCUAAUCUAUAUCUAUUGCUUCCACGGGACGUCGUUUCGGUCCUGCCUUUCGUUAACAUGUAGUUUCGUCGUUUUGUGGGGUAGUUGUGGUGGCGUUUUGUCGUUUAAAUUAGUGGCGGGUGGGCCAGGUGCGUGGGUUUUGUCGUUUUUAGUUAUUUUGGGACUUGUUGCCUACGGUUACAUCUGUACAGUUUUGGUGCGGUUUUUAUAUAUACCUUGAUCUCACCGUCAGAUGCAUGAGUCAUAAUCAUCAGAUCAGGAGAUUUUAUAUUCAGACUUGCUUGAUUUUAGAUUUUAGAUUUGUGAGGAAAAAUCUCAGAUGAUUGCGUGGCCAAUUUCUCUACGUCUGUGAAGGUCAAAGAGAAUAAUUUUGUUAGGUAAGUGUUUGUUGCUUUGAUUAGAUUAUUUCAUAUGCAACAAUAGAGUGAUUGCAAAUUCUGUUAUCUUCUUCCUUGUUUGGUUGAAGAGAAAAUCUUGUUUGCGUGAAGGGAAAAUCUCUGAUUUUCUUGUGCAAAUUUGUCGCUUUAGAUUGGAUUGAUUUAUAUGAGUGGGACUGGAUAAAUGGAUAAGGCUAGAAAGCAUGGAAUUUUGUCCCACACCACUGGUUUUUUAUAUUCCUGGCCUGCCAUUAACAUGGCUGUGUUUAAUCCUAUGUGCUUAAUGUGUAGUUGAAUGAAAUUUUGUCGGAGGGUUUUUGAGAUUAGGAGUUUUAAUGAUGAAAUUUGGGGCUGAAUUUGUUGUGAGGCUUAUCUUAAUGAUCAACUCUCCAAUUGGUCAGGUGGGUGAAGAGAUGUAAAAGCCCCAGAAGGAGAGCUCAUGGUAAGUGCAUGAGGGUAGGGUGCCUUCUUUGUUUGUCUUUGUAGGAAACUAGUAGCAUAUGAUUGAAUUAGGUUGCUCAUGUAGUCAUGUAAUCUUUUUGGCUUGAUUGUGCACAACAUAAAACACAUUAACAUAACAAACAACUUAAAUUAGAGAAAGAGAGAGUCUUAGUGCCAUAAGGUCAAGCAUUUACCCUCACAUUCACGGCAAGAGUUUGAUUCUUCCUCGUUCGUGUUUUUCAGGAUGCGGUAUUAAAUUAUGGUAUCAUACAGGAUGGUGUAUCAAUAAGUUGAUGUCAAGCAUGAUUGAUUUGAUACUAGUUCUAGUUUUCUUUUUUGGAAUAAAUGCCUUAUUUAUUGUGAUUGAUUUGUUAUUUAUUUUAGACACGAUGUUAGGGCUGAUUUGAUCAUAAAUCUAGAAUGAUUAGGCUUGAGUAAAUUGAUUUCCACUAGGACUUGUGUAGCAGGCUUAUGUUGCUCAUGGUCACACCGGAUCGGGGCUCCACUACAUCUUAGCAUGAUAGCGUCCGAUCCAUAACGACCGGCACCCUGAUUCCAUGGGCUCAGUGGAAAUAGGAAAUGGGCAACUCCUAUUCCACGUGUCCACGGAAAACCAAUUCUUCAACCCCGUUUCUAGCCCUGGGAUCACUGAUGGAUCAGGCAAUGGAUCCACGCCUUCCACGUUUCAACACGUGUUCCUUAACCCCACAAAAGGCACUCUCAAUCCAACGGCUAAAAUCCUGCCCAAAAACCAGCUGUGCACGUUAUACAGUACAUCACAUCCCUUUCCUCUCUCUCUCUCUCUCUCUCUCUCUCUCUCUCAAAUAUCUAACUUUUCAUUAAAGAAAAGAAAAUUAACAACUCCCUCGUUUAAAAGCAGAACACAAAGGUCCCCCAAAGAAGCCAAAAACCACGCUAAUUUUCUACGCAAAACCCAUUACAAAGCCUCUCUCUCUCUCUCUCUCUCUCUCUCUCUCUCACACCAAUCCACCGAUCUAGAUCGUCUCAAGGCCAUUCCCGUAAUUUCACAACUACCCACAUUAAUUUAAUUUAAUUUAAUUUUUUGCCCAAAAAGUAUCAUUUAUUAUGUUUUGUGCCAGCUUUUUUAUGGGUUUAUUGAAUUCAAUUGAUUUGAUUUGAUUUGAUUUUGAUAUGCGUAUCUGAAUUGUGUAGAAACUCAGAGACCACAACAAGUGCCAUGAGAGGCCAGAGCAACGGAGGCUUGAGGGGAAUUGUUUCACCCGACAACAGAGGGGGUGCGCACGAUAAGAAAGGCAACCACCACCAUCACAACCACCACCACCAUAAUAAUGAGAAUAACAACACCAAGUCUGCAGCUUCUUCGGACACGGCGCACGAUAGUAAAAAGGGGGGAGGUGGGUCUUCAUCGGGAAGCGGCGAAGCAGCGUUGGCGCCACCGAUGGUCUGGCCGCCGAAGUUCGUGAUUGCUUUGACCAACAAAGAGAAAGAAGAGGACUUCAUGGCAAUCAAAGGGUCAAAAUUGCCUCAGAGACCCAAGAAGAGAGCAAAGUUCAUUCAACGCACCCUCAAUGUAAGCUCCUCUAUUUUCCUUUUUUAGUUACUUUAUUAAUUAAUUAGUAUUAAUUAAAACUAACUAGUUUUUUUUAUUUUUUUUCUUUCUCUUUUUAAAAUAACACCAUUGCCUUGCAAAAACAAAUCAAAACCCAGUUUGAUUUUAUUAUAUUUAUAUGGUUGUUUUACCUGUAUUUAUGCAAAUUGUUGUUGCGACAAAAUGUGGACUAGCUUAGAAGGAAGGAAAAGCAAAAAAUAAUAAAAUAAUAGAAUAAUAAAUAGAACUUUCUGGUAUUUGUUUAGUUUGGGUUAAAAGAAGCCGAAGAAGAUUGCUAAAGUGACAGCAAGAACAAGGCAUACACGUGUCCGCCAAGCCAUGUAUGCAUAUACCUAAUAUGCCUAAAAGUUAGUUUGCUGUCCGACUGGAAUAGUAUUAAUAGGACGAUGGUUUGGGUUAAGAUUAAAUUCUAUAUUAUUCAUAAUAAUAUGAUAAUGAAAUAUUUUAUUUAGGGUCGCCUCGUUUAGUGGAAAAUUGAUGUCACACGUGGCAAUACAUGGUUGUUGCUUUUGGGUUGGUUAUCGUGGCGAUGGACGGUGCGUGGCGUCUCAUGUGGCCGCAUGUGAUUUAGUGGGCAUCAGUGGACGUUUAAAGCAAGUGGGCCUUAAUUCUGUACUAACCGACAAAAAAAGGGCAUAUGGGUCGAAACGGACCCUGGGCCUGUUACCGUUGGUUUUUUUUUGGGGGGUUCUUUUUGGGAAAUAAUAUGCUUCAUGUUGAGGGCAUAUAGGUAUUUUCACUAGCCCUUAAUUAUGCUAACUGUUUUCUGGCUUGGACCGCACUGCCAACUGCUGAGCACAAAAGCACGAAAGCUGACUACCCACAAUGCACCGUUUUCGUUUUUUAAGUUCCAAACAUAGCAAAACUCAUCAAAGUGCUUAUCAAAAAGCCUAUCCCGCUUUUUGCCCAUUACCUAAAGCAAAAGCUACGCUUUUGCCAGUCUGUUUUUGCUUGUUUUGGCCUCUUCCUUUUAAUUAGCUGGAAGAUUAUUGUUCUAAUUAGUUUUUUAUUUUCUGUAAUUUUGUUUUAUAGCUGGUAAGCCCAGGAGCAUGGCUCUGUGAUCUGACCCUAGAACGGUACGAGGUCAGAGAGAAGAAGAUUUCCAAGAAGGUAUUUUAUUGAGUAAUUUUCUUCGAUUCAGGGCCUAAAUCAAAUUUCCUUAAUUUGCCUUUAAUGUUGAUAUUUUUAUGCAGCAGAAUGAAUAGUUUUUUUGUGUUUUUGCAUGAUGCUGCAGAGACCAAGAGGGCUAAAGGCGAUGGGCAACGUGGAGUCUGACUCUGAAUAGAAAGGAGUUUUAGUGAAAAGACUAAUAUAGCAUUUUCGUUUUUUUUCUCCUCCUUUUUUUGAAGGUAUGAGAAAAAUGUUAGAACUUUGUAAAAAUCUUCACCUUUCAACCAUCAGAAUAAUGAAUGGAUUCAUUUCCGGUCCUGUAUACAGUCUUGUUCCUCAUCUUCCUACUAAGUUUGUUUAAUCAGAACAAGAAAAAAAAAACAAAUCAUCACGUCCAAGCACACGAACAAAUGAAAUUUCUCUCUUUCAAACCCUAAUUGUGAAAAAUAAUUAAAAUAAGCUUCAGGGAUGUAAUUCAAGUGGUUAGUCAUGACAUGUUACACAAUCCAACAAUUUUUUGUUUUCUUGUCAACCUACAACACAUUUUCUUAUGUCGUAUUAAGUUAGAAAAGGGAAUUAACGGUGUUGGAUAGUCGUCCAAACGCACGUGAGUGUCUUAUGAUUGUUCAUAUAUUAACAUAUGGGUCUCAGUCUAACAUACAUCGAUGACUUACGGUGGAAGUGCUCAUUAGGCAUGGGCAAAAUCAGUUUCAGACUUCACCAUCCGAGUGAAAAAGAAACUCGAGACUCGAUCGCUCUCAAGAUGUGAAGAAAAUCACGAAAUUGACUCUUGAGACGAGAUUUGAGACUCUUUAGAGGUUAGACUUCAAGAAGGAAGAAGAAAAACAACAAACCAUAACUCUCUUUAGCUGACACACGUAACGUAAAACCACAAUAUAUGAAUUUGCAAAGCUAUUAAAGACAAUGACAUCUAAAAAUUUACCCGAGACAGGAGAAAAACCAGAACCCCAACUCCCUAAAGUUACCUAGUCAUUAGCAAAUUGAAGGGCCACGUCUAAUUUAUAAUGAUAAGAGAUAAUAUCAUUGUUUGGUCGCAUGAUUUGUGGAUGCCACUUUACAUUAUGUGGCCUCCUUAAUUGGUAUUUUGAUGUGACACGGAACACUUAACGCGGUAAUUUAAUUUCUUAACGUAAUUGACAAUUUCAAUGAAAAUCCAUGACCUAUCAUAUCAGACCACCAAACCAAACCCAACUGAAUUAAACUAUUGGAAGAGGAGAAAACAUGGGUCCUAAUUCAAAUUAACAUUCAUAAUUCGCCAUCAUUGACGGGAAGACCCGAAUUAAUCCCCUUAAUUAUGCCACGAAGAAGCAUAAACACAUUUUAAGAAUAACAUCUGCUCUGUGAGAGUUUGUGGAGACAGACAGAUCCACCACCCACCAUCCAGCUGGUUCUCAAAAGGCAAUUCUAAUGCUACCUGCGGGUCGUGAAGAAAAGAGGAAGAUUUUUCAAUUUAAUUAGCCCCCAAAAAAUAGCAUGGAAAAUACCCCCAAAGGGCCCUAAAUAUACCCUUACCCACUGGGCAUAUUUGUCAAUAAACACUGAAAUUAGGGAUUUUUUCAGGACCCAAACACAAUUGCUAUAGUCGGUGACCCAGAGCCUAUCAAAUUAUAAACUCAUUACGUGUUGCAGUUGGAAUUACAGCUUUAUUCUGUUAGAAUAAAUGAUUAAUUUACACCGACUUGGCUACGCCGCUUUUUUGGUCCAAGCGAAAAUAAAAUAAUUGGAUCUGGAUUUGUAAUUUGCCGCUUUUUAUUUGCAGGUAAUGAAAAUGAAAUAACAAUUUGGAUAUUAGUUAAUUUUGAUAUCACAAGCUAGACAAACACCAUUCUCAAAGCAACUCAAGCAUCAAACACAGGAGGAGGAGGAGGAGGAAGACAAACGAAAUAAAAUCAAUGAAUUAUUUACUCAUAAUAAGGAUAAUAAUCGAAAUCCACAAAUACAAAACCCAUAGUAAUAAACCAAGUGCAUUAUAUAUGUAGUCUAUGCACCACAAAAACCCAUAUGACACUGAAAAUCCUAUAGAUCCAUAAUCACCAGCUACUAAAAUGACAAACGCUACUAAUAAAAAACCAAUCAGAAACCCAACCGCUCUCUACACAGCCCCAACCAUAGUUGCAGUAGUAAGCGAAGACUCAAACCCUGAGCGCAGAUCCGAAGACGAUAGCGGCGAAGGCGGCGGCGAAAGCAGAGAUGAACGACGGGGAGAUGGAGGCGGAUGCGGAGGUUGGGCUAGGAGCUGGAGAUUCGGCGGCCUGAGCGGCGCCGAUGACAGAAAGGACGGUGACGAAGACCGCCAUGAGAGCCACGAGUGAAGUUGCCUUUGAGACUGCCAUUGUUGAUUGGUGUGAGAGUUUCUUGUGCUUCGGAAUCUAGGGUUUUGGGAAUACGCCGAGAGACUGAAGCACAAAUAUCAGAGGUGGAAUGAAGUAGGCUCAAGGAACGUAUUUAUAGCGGGGAUUUUGGGCUGGGGUCGGGCAGCCUGGGCAGCUGCCCGGUUCUACAGGCUGGCUACUUGUGAUUGGUUCAGCGCGACAGCUCACACCGCUGGUCGGGGUAAAUUUUUCUCUGUGGGCCCCACUAGAAACCAGUGUCUACGCGGAGUCGUUUCACGCACGAUUUUACCUUCGUCUGAAACGACGCCGUGUGUUCACAUUCCUUAACGAAAGGGCUUUUCGCUUCGCGGCCGAGUCGACUCAGUGGAGAAUAUAUUCGCAAGAAUCUUCUAGCUUGCGACGCGCGGAUCAGAUUCUGUCCGUACGGUGUCAUUUGAGUCACAUCACAUGAUGAACGGUCCAGAUGAACCCGUGGGAACACGUGGGAAUGGAAGAGGUUAUAACGGUUUCGCGGUAAAAAAAUUUGGUUUUUUAUUUAUUUUUAAACUUAAAAAAUGGCCCACAAUGCGCAAUCAGGGAGAUUACAGCGCAGAAAACACAGAGAGGAUGCGUGACUUUCUGGUGAGCGACUCGAUGGCCAACGGGCGAUCGACACGUGGGGAUUUCGAAAAAGACAGGUUGUUAAAUUGCGAGGAAAAAGAUACGACAGGUGUAGGGUGGGAUUUGGUUCUGUUGCUUCUGAUAUUUUUAUUUCGCGGGAUUUCCAGAACAUUCGCUUGGCAUUUUGCGUUUUGGAGUUGAGGGGCGCACAUGCGUGCGGGUGAAGUUACCGUAAUGCCCUUGAGAGUGAUUGGGUGCGUGUCAAUUUUAUAUUCACGUUCAUUAUGAGGAGCUAUGAGUAUCUACUUAAGAAAACCAAAAGGAAUGUGGCGCUGAAUCUGAAUGGGUUUGAAGUCCAUUAAUGCGUUCCAGGGCUUUUCAACAUUUUGUUCCAUAUUCCAUGCCGUGCCCACUGGCUAAUGGGUUUGAUGUGGGCCCAACAUAUUCUUUUCUCGUCAAAUCCAAAUAAAGAGGCCGGGUGUUACGGGAGCUCCUAUAAUCCAGGUCGGUUUAUGUCGUCGAAGUUUCAAUUCAGCUGUCUAAUAAUAAUACUCUUAAAGUGUUGUUGAACGAACUCACAAAUUAACUGUGUUCACUUUACUAAUAAACUAUUUAUUGAAUUAUCAAUUUGCUCUAGUAUAAAAUGACCAAAAAUGAUAUAUUGAAUUGUGAAAUAAAUGUAAUGUUAAUAAAUACACCAUACACUAAAUAAAUAAAUAAAAAUUACACCUUUCUCACUAUAUUCAACCAAAUUGAACUUUUGUUUUCUUUUUCUUUUUCUUUUUCUUUUUCUUUUUUGGGUUUGUUUGUUAACCUCAAUAAUAAUAAAUGAAUAAUUAGGGAGGGACCAACCAUAAAGCCAAGCAGGAUUAACAAAUAUGUAUAGAGAUGGGUUAGUAUUAUGAGACAACCAUCACAAUGUCUGUCUGAUUCAUAUAGAACUGCAUAAUUAAUGACAAUGAUGAUAUUAGUGUGUAUCAGGGGUAUUUUUAAAGUUUUUAUAAUUGUGUAUUAGUGUGUAUCAGGGGUAUUUUUGGUAGUUAAAUAUGGUGUACUUAGUUAAUUUUACAUUUUGAUUUAAAUAUUAAAGUAUGUUUAGAUCAUAGGGUGUACUUAGUUAAUUUCAGAGUUCGUUUAGCAAUGCUCUACUUUUAUUGAUCAGACAACUAUGAAGACUCCCACACUAUAGCCUCAUACAAGUGGUACGCAGCAUAAAUGGGCAUGUAAACCAUAGAGGACCAAGAUAUAGAACCGUUGACGCACGUAAGUUCCACAAUACUGUUAAUAUAUGUGCGGGCGACUCCGAGUAACUGUUAACCUAGAGUCAGAGAAAUGAAAUUCAAAUAUAAAAUAUUUUAUUCUAAUGUCGAUUUCUGAAUACAAAAAUGUGAAUUUGAUGCAGUGCUAAAUAAGGUGUGCUACUUCUCUGUACAUCUGAUACUGAUACUGUUGUGGACGGGGGUUUUGGCCAAAGAGCUAUCAAGUGAACCUCAACUAAUAAUAAUAUUACAGCUGAGGUUGAAUUCUAUGAUGACAAAUAACACACACCACAAACAGGGAAUUUUGCAUGCUCUUCGGCUAGAGAAGUUUGAUUUGACUGAGGAUUUAUGUGUUAGAAGCCCAAAAACUUUGGUGCUAAAUGCAGAAGGGGUUCCAUAGCACUUGGAGCAAAUUUUCUUCCAAAAAGAAAGCAGAUUGAAGAGUUCCGGUCGUUGUAAGUGCAGCGAUGACCCUCGAGCAUUCUCUUGAAGAAUUCCUCAGUGAUAUCAGCUCUUCCAAAGGUAGCUGGGUGAGGUCCACCCCUUGACCAAUCCACCCAAGUGAUGCUUCUGUUUGCUAAGGAAUUCCCUGCUUGAAUGGUUAGCAUGGUGGGGAAAUAGUGCUCAUCAACAUAACAUGCGGGUCUACAGAACUUUUCAAAUUUUUGGUAAAAUGUCGUAUCUUCGACAAUGCUGAUGGCAAGCUUCCGGUUAACUUCAAACCAUUGGGAGCCCUUGCGCCACUGGGUUAUAUUCACUUCAGGUGCCAUGUUAUUAUUAUAGCGUCCUCUCCCGAAUGGCCCAGGGUCGUCAAAUGCACCGAUGAAGCUGUACUUGGAUUUCAUUAAGUAGUGGUAAAUGACACUGAAGUUAUAGAGCGGAAUGCAAGAUUCGGAAACAAGAAUGAACCAUUCAUUGGAUAUGUCAAGCAAUGCAUUAGCAAGGAGCCUUCUCUCAGCAUCACACAUACUCAUUCUUCCCCACUCAGAAACCUGCACAGCAGAAAACCAAAACUCUUAGCAGAUAUGUAAGAGAUAUUGCAUAAUAUCUAUCCAGAUUUGAACAGAAAAAAUUUCUACAGCAGCAACCAAGAUGACCUCAAAGAAAUUAGACAAAACAAGUUAUCCUCAAGCUACAAAGCAACAACAAUAUAAUUUUCCCUGGAUACUCUGUUUUUGAAGCUACUAACUGCGGAUCAUGAGUUUCUCUUUUGUUCAAAACACCCAGGUUAAAAAGUAAAACAAGCAGAGAUUUUAUGGAAUAUGUUCAUGAAUCUGAAAUAAAUACUUGGUAUGUUUCUAUACAAGCUUGAACUCUAUCACAAAGCAUCAUUCACAUAAAUAAUUAAUUUCUUCCUCAUAACCUGAAGGCAGAUAUCAUGACAGUAUGGAAAUGUCAUGAUUGUGGCACGAGAACAAGUCAGGAAUCAAGAACGUAGAUUAAAAAAAAAACAUCAGGACUAUGUGAAGAGGUCCAGGGUGCCACCCCAGUAGUCAAUGCCUUUACAUCAGCUGUUCAUCAUGUACGAAAACAUUUAUGCAUCUGCUUUUUUCAUGUUUAUAAACACAGGUGUUGUAAUAGUCUCAAGAUCCAAAAGUUAGCAGCAGAUGGAGUGGACCUAGUGGAGUUUCACAUGCAGGAUUGUCAAAUUCAUGGAAUAAAGAGUCAAAUCCAUUCACUUAGUUGAGUUUGCACUUGACACACGAGUCCAUGGAACAAAUAGGGCGUCCUGCCCUCCCCAAGAGAUGGUCUAUAUAUCCUACAUCACUGUAAUUCUCAAUACAUGAACAUGAUAAAACUGACCUGUUCCUUUCUACCAACACACAGAAAGGUAGUUUUAACCCUUUCUUUGAUGAUAAGCAAAAAUUACCAACUCUUGGAAAGAUGAAUUUCGGAUUUCAUCAUGUCUUAAGCUUCACAUACAUAACCUAACAUUUUUAAAUGCAAGAGACCAGGGUGUGUGCUCACCACAGAGCAAAUAUAGGAAAUCAAGAUGUGCAGAAAGUAAAAACCAGAUAAACCAGUGAUAGAGAACUAGAUAUCUACGAAUUUACCUCAAAAUAAAAAAUAAAAAAAUAAUUUUGUACUUGCUGAAGGAUGCUUAGUAGAACAUGCAAUCUCACAAAGGAUAGAAUAUGGACCUGGCUAGGAAUGUGUCUCCCAUAAAAAACGGACGAAGUGUGAAAAUGAGGUUGAAAUGACGGCAGUGAAUGAACGUAGAUUGAAUAACGUCCUUCAUGUCCCUUCAGAAACCUCUCCCAAAGGGGUGCCAGCGGCAACGGCCCCCUGGUCAAGAACAUAAAUGCAAUCUUUGGAACUCUCUCAAAAGGAUACUUCUUUAUUCUAGGCAUAAGAGAAGCCCUCCACAAUAAUUCCUUAUCAGUCAUAGUGUGUUGAAGAUUUGAUGGCGGCUUAAUCCACCGGUCCAAACCACUCGGUUCCUCAUAGCAUGGCUGGAAAGAGGACGUGACCGUUGUCAUCACCCCAUUAAUUCCAAAAUGACGAAUCGUCAAUAUGCUAAUGACUGAGAAAGUAAUACAGAAAAGCACAAACAGCACAAACAACUGAAGUAGCCUUAUCGGCAAUGCCUUGGUUUGGUUUGUCCUGCCAGUAACUCCGGGGUCCUUGCCUUCCUCUAAUGGCACAACCCUUGAUUGCAUGGUUUGCAUCUUGAUUAAAACACUGCACCAAAAUCAAUUUCUAGCUCUUCUGAUUACUACAGAGUACCUCCAAGUCUCAAAAUUUUGGACACCUAUUGACUUCUCUCAAACAAGAAAACCCACAGUCCAAAAUUGCAUCUUGCAUCACAAACGGUGAAGUGAACACGAAUUUAAUCACAUUGGAAUCUGAAUCACUCAGUUUUCUUCAAAACUGCAACCCCACCAAAUAAAAACACACUGCACAGAUCUGAAACUAAUACUACAGUACUGAACACAUACUGCGUAAAAAAUUUUAACUUCAGCACAUGGGUUCUUAAUAAACUGAGCUUAUAUCAACGAUCUAAGCUAAGAUCAUACAAAUAUGGAUCGAACUUCUCUUUCACCAGAGAAAAAAGUAUGACAUACCAUGUGACUUUUGAGGUUGAAAGCUAAAUUGAUGAAGACGAAUGAAGGAUUUAGAUCCUUGUAUUUGACUGCUUGAAUUGCGCCCAAGAAUACGGGAAGUGGUCAAUUGGAUGAAGAACAAGAGAACAGAAGGAGGAGGUCACGCAGAGGAGACUUUGGCGGCAGAAACAAAAAGGUGCAGUGACCAAUAAUAAUGAGAGAGUUUGAAAAACUUGGGGAGAAGUCUUGACCGAGUGUGCGCGUUGUGUGUGAGAUGAGAGAAUUGUGAGGAAGACGACGACUCUGUGAUGAUCUGUAGAAUCUCAAGUUUUAAGAAUGUCUCUCACACGGUGCGGUGCGAGUGAGGAGGGAGAGGGGAUCCAGCUUGUCGGCUAACUUGGGAGUGUGAUAUAUAAGCACCCAUCCAGUUUCAUAGCUUGGUGGAAAAACGAACUUGCCUCAUCUGUUGCGUGUGUGUAUUUUUGGGUAAAUUCAUUAGUGACUAAAAUGAUAAAAAUCGACCUUCGGAUGCGAUUACUAUGUUUUGAUUAUUUUUUUUCUUUUUUAGUAGAAGCGAUAGUUUCUAAACUGAAUGAAAGUGGAAUUUCUCACACACACACAUCUAUAAUGUCAUGGAGAUUCAAACUUGAGACCUCUAUUAUGCAAGUUAAAAUUUUUCCACGCAAUAGACCCUGUUGGCGAUACACUUUGAUUUUAAGAUGGGCAGAUAACAAUAGAAACUUUAUUUUAUUUAUUAUUAAUUGCAAGCACCCUAUUGGAACACGUUUCACCCUAUUGGAGCAUAAUUAGCAUCAAAGCAAGAAAAUCAACUAUUUUCCCCCCUCAUAGCCGCAUAAAAGAACAGAUAAAAGGAUAGAGUAUAGAAGCCUAAGUACAGAUGUAAAUGUAAUUAUUGGUUAGAGAUUGGGUUUAGUUUAAACAAGUUAAUGAGGCUUUGAUUGGUUGUUGAAGCUUAAUGUCUUAUGGUGGUGGAGAACCCAAUUGUAUCAAACAACGUAAUAAACACGACGUGGUGUAGUUGGGCAGACCGCAAGUCUUGGCCUCUAGUUAGGUGGGAUUUCAGUUCUUUCACCAAACCAAACAAGCCAUGAGGAAAGCUAAAGAAAGUCUAAAGGUAGGAGCCAUAUGUAGGAUCAAAUCUGCCUAGUAACCAGUUGUAUAUCCCCUUCUGUCUACAACACUUUACAUUACGUAAUCGGUUGCAUAUUUCUAUUCUAUCUGUUUAAAACAAUCAUCAUCUAUAUAUAUAAAGCAAAAGGUAGAGAAUGGUGAAACAUUCAAAAUACCAGAAAAUAUCCUUGGUUAAUGCAAACAUUAAGAACUAAACUUAUUAAUUAAAUGAGGAUAAUAUGGUAAAUUUACACUUUUUAUAAAAAAUUAAAAUUAAAUAAAAAAUAAUGGAUCUUAUUUUUAUGGAACACUUUUUAAUUCUAAAAAAAUUUUAAAUUUUUUUUAAAAAAAUGCCUCUCGCAAGCGCGUGCAGAGAAGCUAGUGUUACAUAAUGAGUGUUGUAGACACGAGAAUACAAAACCGGAGAUAGCUAAGAUUCUCUCCAUAUGUUGAGUCUACACCUACCUACAACCGCAUCUAAGAUUCCCCCAGCAAUAAGGACACAGGGACAGCUGAGGAUCCAAAAUGGUUCAUAUACAUGGGGUCCCGAUCUCGAUCUAAACUUCGUUAAAAAUAAAGUUGAUUGGUUGAUAGAAUCAACCACACUCAAAAAAACAAGCAGUUUUAACUCGAGAGAGGAGUAGAAUCAACCACACUAAAAAAAAUAAGCAGUUUUAACUCGAGAGAGGAGUAGAAUCAUAAAGCCUUCGCUGCUGUGAAUGGCGAUCCUGCAAAACAAUUCAUGAUGUAACUGUGAUUUGCAAAGAAAACCAUCCAUGCAUUCAUUUUGAACGUGUGAUAUAAUAACACGUCAUAUCGACAAUGAGAUCCUUGAAAACUGAGCAACGUCACAACAUUAGGUCUGUAAUUUGCCAGUAUAUCUACUGUCUAUGAAAACGCCAAAGUUGAAGACUAAAACUAAGAUACUACAGAGCGUUUUCUGCUCACAGUCACAGCACAUGAAACAGCUAAGAUGUAGAUGUUUCUAUCUUAUUCACAAAGGAACAGUUAGCUCCACAUCCCAAAUUCUAUAUACCAUGGCAUAUUUCUUGUAGCAUAUACCACUCUACUUCACCACAAAACUGGCACGGAGGUUGGAAACCAUAACUGGGCACUCUCCCUUCUCAUCAUAUUCAACAAAGUCCCCUCCCGACAAGUCAACAUGGUCAAAUUUUGUCCCUUCCACCUACAAGAAUGAACACUAGUUUAAGUUGAAAUAAAGAUGCAUCCAGCAGAGUCGAUUGCAGUACAUAAAAAUGAAAACUAGAACUUCAAAAAUCGAAACUAUUCUCCUAUUUUCAAAAAUUCAACAAUUCAAAUGCAAAAAUUCAAUUCACUGGGGCCUCUAGUAAUUCGUUUUUCACUCCUUGUUUCUUUUUCUAAAUUUCAUUAUCAAUCUAAUUUUCACUUUUAUUCUCCUUGGGGUAGGGAAUGGCGAUAGGCGGGCAUGACACUCCUGGCCAAGCAGAACAGUAAAAAUGAGUUGACAUUUGGUGACACCAUCUCUGGUCCAAUCCACAUGGUAGGCUUCCAUAGUAAAUCUAGUGUACAAGACAAUUAUACUGUUUGUGGGAUGCCCUUAACGUCAGAAAAAUAAAAUAUCACUAUUUUCUGCAGUUCCCACCUCUUGAAUAUGAUAUGCUCAUGAGAUGUACUAACCUUAAGAUCUUUAUGCUAAAGGACAGAGACCUGAGCUUUCUCACCCCAAAAAGAAAGGAUCAGAACUCAAAAGGACAAAAAUACCAAAAUAAGCUUUGAAAGGCGCUACCACAUUAUGGAAUAGGAUAUGCAAUCCUUAAUGCUUAAUGUACUAUGUACUAUAAGUACAAACAAGGAGAGUUAAGAAGAGAAGAAUAAAAGAAUUUAUACAUAUGCGCUGAAGUUCAUAGGAGUUAGUGAGAUUUAGUGCUUAGGAAUGUUCGCACGAUUACUAUUUAUAAGACCAUUCAGCUCAAAGGUCCCAGCAAAGUCAUUUUCCAUCCAUAAGUACAAUAAGAAAGUUUUAUACAAUAUGCUACAUAAUUGGAAGGUGGUGUGUGAAGAAGAGAAACUUACAGAUUCAACCUUCCACCCACUAGCAAAUACAUAGUCCACAGGCUCAUAACCCCUGCACUCAAACAUCAUCAAGGGGGAAAAUUUCCUUUCUUCACACAUUUGCUGGGUCAGUGGUUUACCAUGACCUGGCAUCAUUGUCAGAGUUCCAUCCCUUCCACAAAACUUGCACUACAAGGGGAGAUGCAAAUCACCACACAUAUAUAGCAAACUUAACCAGAAAAUAUUCGUUCAAAGAUAAAACAUAAAGGGAACAACCCCCAUAUCCAUGAAUUGAAGAUAUGCAAUAGUAAUAACUUAUGUCAACGUAGUUGACUCAUAUGUCAUCAAAUAGAAACUGCACAGAGAAAUGUGUUGGAACCCACACAUGUAAACUUUAACCAAGAGAAGAGAAAUGAAAUCCCGAUAAAAUCUCAAAGUUGUCGCUACAAUUAGGCACCCAAACAAACAAAGCAUUUGCUCAACCAAACAAGCAUACUACAGAAAACACAAACUACCAUAACUCUUCUGUUCCUUUCCUUCUAUUUCCUCAGAAACUAAAUAUACUUCAAUAAGCUCUUAAAUUCCAAAGCCCAUUGAGCAAUUAGUAGAGAGAGAGAGAGAGAGAGAGAGAGAGAGAGAGAGAGAUAAUGGUUACCUUCUGAACGAGAUUAACGGUUGCCUUGCCCGAUGGAAGAGGAACAGUCUCGUUCAAGCUCACACAAGUUUCCCUCUGGCUCAGCUCUCCACACCUCUCACAUUUCAACUGCAAGAUUACAAAAAGAAUAGAAUCAUGUUAAUAAUGACUAUAUCAAGCUCGGGAGACUAAGCGACGAACAUCGACGUCAAUUUUAAGCUACAACCCCUAGAAAUCUGAACACGAACACCAACUAUAAUGACAAAAUCGACUGCAUUUUUGGAGCAAAAAACUUGACGAAAGGAAAUGAAGGUGACCUUGAAGAGAUAGGAAAAGUUGGGGUCGUUGCAGCCUUCCUGGGGCUGAAGGUUCGUCAGGUUCUCGAGGUCCGCAGCGAUCUGAAGUAAAAAUUUCACCAUUUUCGAUUUGGCGUCAAUCUCGAGCUGCUCACCGCGUCUUUGUCUCACUGUGUGUAGCUAGUGGCAGGAUGAGUAAUAAAUAAGGGGGGCUUGGGCGACGAAUAGACGCUAUCAGUUAAACGGCGUCGUUGUGCGGAAUUUAAUUUUUUUCCGACACGGGGAUUUUUAGCUCAAGUUAACUACAAUUUACCCUAAAAUCGAUGGCCUAUGUUCGAAUCAUCUUUCUUAAUAUCGUUUGUAUUUUAAAAAAUAUUAAAUUAUAUGAAUCAUAUUGUGAUACCUGUUACAAAGAGAAGUUUAAUAUUAUGAAAGUCUUUCAAGUAGCAAAUGUGAAUUAGGUCAGUUAGUCAAAGUAGUGUGUCCAUCUUUUUUCACAUUAGUUUUUAGAUUUAUGAUAAUAGUACUUCAUUUGAAAUUUUGAAGGCCAUUGAAGUGAAGGAACCAAAGCAAUAUUGUAGGAAUUUAACAAUCAUUUUGCCAUUCUAAUUUGUGAGGACACGUCAUAAUGUUAGUCCUCAUACCAUUUUCCAUUUUACACACCGCAGUUCAAAUAUUGGACCAAAAAACAAAACGAAAUUGGCAUGAUUGGAAGGUGAACCAUGCAAAGUUUGCAGAUAUGUAAUCAGAAUCAUGUGCUACAUAUUAUGGAGGCACUGUCCUUGAAGAGAUUCAACUAGUGUUGGGAUCUUAGCCCAUCUCAUAUACUGAAAGAAAGAUAAUUUCCAUUUCAUGAUUUUGGGUGUUUGUGAUUAGUUAACAACAAAUUAAUGGGGGGAAGGGGGUUGUUUGGUGGUGAAGGGAUUGGAAUAAGGGGCAUAAUGGUAAUUAUGUUGGGAGCAACUGUGACUCUUAUUAGAUGUGGGGUGCUUGUGGAGGGUAAGUUGUUCUCUAAACAGAAGAUUUUGGAAGCCGAAAGACAAUUAAACCAACUUAGAAGGCCUGCAGUUAAAACCAUUCAGGUAAGAAUUGUCCAGAACUUGAGCCCUUCACAUAAGUUUUCUGCAUUGUAUUCAUUUACUCAGUUCAUAUUAAUCUCUAUGAUUGCUUGUAGAGUGAAGAUGGUGAUAUCAUUGAUUGCAUUGACAUCUACAAGCAGCCAGCUUUUGAUCAUCCUGCUCUCAGAAACCACACCAUCCAGGUCUGCCUUCUGUUGUGCAAGUUGAAAGUAGACAAAGAUUUACUCUGCAACUUUAAUCUUUUUGCUACCAUAUAACAACUGCUUUGAGUCUUUUUUUCAGAUGGCACCAACAUAUGAUACAACCAAGGAGACAAAGACAAUGAAAAAAAUGGACAGAUGGAAGAAGAGGAAUGAAGAACAAUCUCCCAUUACCGUGAAGCAAACAUGGCACAAAAGUGGAAGCUGUCCUCAGGGAACAAUCCCGGUCCGAAGAAUCCAGAAAAAGGAGCUUCUGAGAGCUAGCUUGGUUAAGGACUAUGGAAGAAAGAAGCACAGUUCUACCUUGUCUCGUCAUGUUUCACAGUUAAGUGACAACAAAACUGUGUACCUUCAACGAGCAAACCACUCGGUACAUCAAUUCCCCACACACACAUUUUUAAUUCAUUGGAAAAUUAACUACAACUAUACACCUAAUGAAGAGGGUUUUUUUUUCUCUGUGUGUAAUUUGUGAUGGCAUCAGAAGGCAAUAUUGUUUACAGAAGGGUACAGAUAUAAUGGAGCCAAAGGAGACAUCAAAGUUUAUAACCCAUCUGUCGAGCUUGAUGAUGAAUAUAGUACUUCUCAAGUUUGUCUCAUAAAUGGUGCUUAUUAUGACUUUGAGAGUGUUGAAUCUGGAUGGGCGGUAUAUAUAUAUUAACAUAAUAAACCCUUUCACUUUCAUCUUGAAGCUACUUACUUCUUCUGUCAUAUUAUGUUCAUGGCAUAACUUUUUAGUCUGAAAAAUUACUCUAAUCCCUCUUCAGGUAAAUCCCAGUGUAUACGGGGACAGACAGACUCGAUUUUUCGUGUAUUGGACUGUAAGCAGCCAUGAAUAAAGACUUAACAUUCAUGCGAGUAAUUCCACUAGAUUUGAUGUGAUUUCUGAUGUUUCUGCAGGUUGAUGGCUCACAGAAAACUGGUUGCUUUGAUCUCACUUGUCCUGGAUUUGUUCAGACUAGCCAUGAAAUUGCUCUUGGUGCAGCAAUCCAUCCAAUCUCUGUUCCUCAUGGGCUUCCAUAUCAAAUAAUAGUCUACAUCUACAAGGUCAGGUCAACAGUUUAACAACAUAACGCGCUUGAUGAACAGUUUAGCAACAUAACAUGUCUAACAUUAUUCGUAAUACUAAAUAAGUUUUCCUAUCGUAUCUUCAAUUGAAUUUCUUUUUUGUUUUGCCUCCAAAUUUAGGAUCCAGUAACAAGCAACUGGUGGGUGCAAUAUGGGGAGAGAAUUAACAUCGGUUACUGGCCGCCGGAGCUGUUUGUUUUAUUGAGCUACCAUGCAACAAGUGUUGAAUGGGGAGGUGAAGUUUAUAGCUCAAGAGUGGGAACUACGCCUCACACAAGAACAGAUAUGGGCAGUGGACACUUUGCUGAGUCAUCAGUUUGGGGGACUUCAGGCGUCAUAAAAAGAAUUCGAGUACAUGAGAAUUCACCUGGGCUGAAAUUCCCUGAUAUAGUUAAUACUUUGAUGGAUGAGUUCAACUGUUAUGAUGUCAAGUAUCUUUCGGAUUAUGUUGAAGAUCCUGAGUUCUAUUAUGGAGGGCCUGGUAGAAAUUAUAUGUGCCCUUAAGCUUAUGUUAACUUUGCUAGGACUUGUUUAAGACCCCAUUAGAAUGGGUAAUUAUGUUGUUUUAAACUUUCAUUAGUUAUUUUUUCAAUAUCAAACUCUGUAAACCCCAUCUUAUUUCUCAAAAUGACAUAGUUUUAGACAUAGACACGAUACAAGCACUAAAAACACAAGUGGAUAAUCCUAUUUCGUCCCCAAAAGGAAAAGCCUUAGAGAGUGGAAAUCUCCUAAUAAAUUGGUAAAAAUUAGGCAUAUUAAUUUUAAUUUCUAUCCAGAGGUUGCGCAAUAUUUGAAUUCAGAUUUAGAGGGAAGUGAAGUUUUUGGUGUAUAGGCAUCGAUUGUGUGUUACACUAACAUAACAUGUAUAACUUUGCACAAACGACUUGGAAUUUCAUUUUUUAUAUAUAUAAUAAUCGAGAAAAAUAUUUGUCUCAUUUCUUAAAAUGAGUCAUUCCUCCUUACAUGCAAAUUACAAUUUGACAUGAUCUACACGUGUUAGGUUGACUCGUUUAAUUCUACUAUUGACACGUAGCAUUAUCUCCUAAUAACAUAGAAAUUUAACAAUCAUACUGUAGAAAUUUAACAAUCAGUUCAUACUGUAGAAACCAAGCCAUACUGUAGAAAUUUAACGAUCAGUUCUUCUUUGGCUAAAGAUUUAUGUAGCUGGGUUUACCAAGGUUAAGGACACACUUGUCCAAAUAUUCAACAGCUACCAUUUUGAAUUUAACACUUGGCAAUUCAAAUAUAGAAUAAAAAUGUGAAAUUUGCAUGAUUUGGAAGGUGAAUCAUGCAAAUUUUGCAGUAUAUGUAGUUUGCAGAAGAUAUGUAUGCUGCACAUUGUGGGUGGCAUUGUCCUUAAAUAACCUAAGCUUAACUUAGAUUCUGAAAGCAAGAUAAUCAGUUUCCAUUUUAUGAUUUUGGGUAUUUAAAUUACCUGAGAUUUAGUAUAUAAUCAAACAAAUGGGGAAAGGGUUGUGUAGUGGUGAAGUGAUUAGAUUAAGGGGGAUGAAGAUGAUGGUAAUUAUGUUGGGAGUGACAGUGACUCUAAUUAGAUUUGGGGUGCUUGUAGAGGGUGAUUUGUUCUCUAAACAAAAGAUUUUGGAAGUUGAAAGAAAAUUAACCCAACUUAGAAGACCUGCAGUUAAAACCAUUCAGGUUUGAAUUGUCCAGAAUGAGCCCUCCACACAUAAGUUUUUUUAUUAUUGUAUUCAUUCUCAGCUCAAAUGAUUGUUUGCAGAGUGAGGAUGGUGAUAUCAUUGAUUGCAUUGACAUUUACAAGCAGCCAGCUUUUGGUCAUCCUGCUCUCAGAAACCACACCAUCCAGGUCUGCCUUUCUGUUGUUCUAGCUGAAAGUAAAAAAAAGAAAAGAUUUACUCUGCAACUUCAAUCUUUUUACUACCAUAUAACAAGUGGUUUGAGUCUUUUUUUAGAUGGCACCUACAUAUGAUGCAACAAAGGAGACAAAGACAAUGGGAAAAAUGGACAGAUGGAAGAAGAGGAAUGAAGAACAAUCUCCCACUACAGUGAAGCAGACAUGGCACAAAAGUGGAAGCUGUCCUCAGGGAACAAUCCCGGUCCGAAGAAUCCGGAAAAAGGAGCUUCUGAGAGCCAGCUCGGUUAAGGACCAUGGAAGAAAGAAGCACAGUUCUACCCUGUCUCGUCAUGUUUCAGAGUUCAGUGACAACAAAACUGUGAACCUUCAACGAGCAAACCACUCGGUACACCAAUUCUCCACACACACAUUUUUUAAUUAAUUGGUAAAUUAACUACAACUAUACAUCUAAUGGAGAGGGGUUUUUUUGUUUUUUGGUUUUUGUGUUUGUGUAAUUUGUGAUGGCCUCAGAAGGCAAUAUUGUUUACAGAUGGGUAUAGAUAUAAUGGAGCCAAAGGAGACAUCAAAGUUUAUAACCCUGCUGUUGAGCUUGAUGAUGAAUAUAGUACUUCUCAAGUUUGUCUCAUAAAUGGUGCUUAUUAUGACUUUGAGAGUGUUGAAUCUGGAUGGGCGGUAUAUAUAUUAAAAUUAAUAAACCUUUUCACUUUCAUCUUGAAGCUACUUACUUCUGUUACAUUUUAAGUUCACGGCAUUACUUUUUAGUCUGAAAAAAUGCUCUGAAUCCCUUCAGGUAAAUCCCAGCGUAUACGGGGACAGACAGACUCGAUUUUUCGUAUACUGGACUGUAAGCUGGCAUGAAUCAUAAAUUAGUUUUCAUAUGAGUAAUUCCACUAGAUUUGAUAUGAUUUCUGAUGUUCCUGCAGGUUGAUGGUUCAAAGAAAACUGGUUGCUUUGAUCUCACUUGUCCUGGAUUUGUUCAGACUAGCCAUGAAAUUGCUCUUGGUGCAGCCAUCUAUCCAAUCUCUGUUCCUAAUGGGCUUCCAUAUCAAAUAAUAGUCUACAUCUACAAGGUCAGGUCAAUAAUUUAACAACAUAACGUACCUAACCGAUAGUUUAGCAACAUAACAUGUCAACAUUACUACUUGUAACACGAUAAUAGGUUUUCUUCUCGUAUCUUCGAUUGAAUUUCUUUCUGUUUUUGUCUCCAAAUAUAGGAUCCGGUAACAAGCAAUUGGUGGGUGCAAUAUGGGGAGAAAAUUAACGUCGGUUAUUGGCCGCCGGAGCUGUUUGUUGCACUGAGCUACCAUGCAACGAGUGCUGAAUGGGGAGGUGAAGUUUAUAGCUCAAGAGUGGGAACAACUCCUCACACAAAAACAGAUAUGGGCAGUGGACACUUUGCUGAUUCUGUUUGGGGGACUUCAGGCGCCAUAAGAAGAAUCCGAAUACAUGAGAAUUCACCUGGGCUGAAAUUCCCUGAUAUAGUUACUACUUUGAUGGAUGAGUUCAACUGUUAUAAUGUUAGGUAUCUGUCAGAUUAUGUUGAAGAUCCUGAGUUCUAUUAUGGAGGGCCUGGCAGAAAUUAUAUGUGCCCUUAAGCUUAGCUUAGCUUUGCUAGGACUUGUUUAAGACCCAUUAGAAUGGGUAAUUAUGUCGUUUUAAACUUUCAUUUAUUUUUCCAAUAUAAACUAUAAAAACCCAAAACUCUUAUCCUCAAAAUAACGUAGUUUUGGACAUAAACACCAAAAACACAGAUGAUUCUAUUUGUGAGAAUGUGAAGGUAAAGAGUCCCACAUUGGAAAGUUGAGAAACCUAGCAAGGGCUUAUAAGGAGUUGGGUUACUCCCCCCAUUGCCAAUUGGUUUUGGGGUAGAACCUCAACUUCCUUCAUGGUAUCAGAGCAAGGCUUCACAUGUUGAGCCCAACAGCCACACGUGCUCCCACGUCACCCAAUAUGUGUUGUCCACGUGUUAGGCUUGAAAGUUCGCCACACGUGCGGGGGCGUGUUGAGAGUGUUUGUCCCACAUUGAAAUGUUAAGGGACCUAGCCUGGGUUUAUAAGGAGUUGGGCAACUCCCCCCAUUGCCAAUUGGUUUUGGGGUGGAACCUCAACUUCCUUCAUGGUAUCAGAGCAAGGCUUCACGUGUUGGGCCCAACGGCCACACGUGCUCCCACGUCACCCAAUAUGUGUUGUCCACGUGUUAGGCUUGAAAGUUCGCCACACGUGCGGGGGCGUGUUGAGAGUGUCACGUGCUCCACGUCACCCAAAAUGUGUUGUCCACGUGUUAGGCUUGAAAAUUCGCCACACGUGCGGGGACGUGUGAGAAUGUGAAGGUAAAGAGUCCCACAUUGGAAAGUUGAGAAACCUAGCAAGGGCUUAUAAGGAGUUGGGUUACUCCCCCCAUUGCCAAUUGGUUUUGGGGUGGAACCUCAACUUCCUUCACUAUUUCAUCCCAAAAAAGAAAAGCCUUAUGGAGUGGAAAUCUCCUCAUUAAUUGGUAAAAUUUUGCGUUAGUUACUUACCAUCUUCAAUUUGACCGAAGUUCUAUCCAAAGGUUGCACAAUAUUUGAAUUUAGAUUUAGAGAGAAGUGACGUUUUUGGUGUAUUGGCGUCGAUUAUGUAUACAUUAACAAGUUCAAUUUUGCACAAAGGACUUGGAAUUUUUUUAUUUUUUUUAUAAAUAAUAAAUCAAGAAAAAUAUUUGGUUCCUUGUUAAAAAUGAGUCAUUCAUUUUCAGAAUGCAAAUUAAUUUGACAUGAGUGUAAAUUUUUUAACAUGCUUUUAAUAAGUUAUUUAUGUAUAAGUGUUAAGUUGCGAUUUGAAUGUAAGGAGAAACGACUCAGUUAGUUCUAUAAAUCAAACUAGAAGAAACACAUACACAUCCGUGUGUAAUUUGCUAAUUUGUAAUACCGGUUGCAAAGAGAAAGUAGGUAUGGUGGAAGCCUUAAAAGUCCCCCAAUACAUUGUAUAGCCGUGCGGCUCUACUUUUAAAAUUUUCUAUUUAUAAAGUAUAGCCGGCUAUACCCUAAAAACGCCGUGAAAGCAAAUUCUUUCUUUAUAUAUACUAGCCUCUCUACACGCGCUUCCGCGCAUGCGAGAGGUUUUUUUAAAAAAAAUUUUAAAUUUAUUUUAGAAUUAAAAAAGAUAAUAGAUAUUUGUGUUCCAUAAAAAUAGGAUCCAUUAUCUGAAUUUUCUUUUUUUUUUAAUUUUUUUAAUGCGAAAAAUUGUGAAUUUACCAUAUUAUCCUCAUUUAAUUAAUAAUUUCAAUUCUUAAUGUUUGCAUUAACCAAGGGUAUUUUCUGGUAUUUUGAAUGUUUCACCAUUCUCUGCCUUUUGCUUUAUAUAUAUAGAUAGAUAUAUACAUUACCGCCCAAUAGAUUUGUAAUUCAAAGCCGUGCGGCUAUACUAUUUUUUAUAAUAACAACCAUAGUAUAGCCGACCGGCUAUACCCUUUUUAUUAUAUAAAAAAAAUCCGAGUAUAAGUACCAUUUUUAAAAGAGGACCCACUGGAGCCUAGCGCCCCCUUUUGCCAUGUGUCAAAAAUAGUACAGCCGAGCGGCUAUACGCAAUUAAUUAUAAAAAAAUAAGUGUAGCCGAGCGGCUAUACUAUUUAUAAUAAAAAAGGGCCACCGCUUAACGAGCAUGGCCAAAGUAUAGCCGCGCGGCUAUACUCUAUAAAUAUAAUAUUCUGAAGGUAUAGCCGGUUGGCUAGACUCAUACUCGUUUGCCCGUAAUUUGUUUUUAAAAAGUAUAGCCGACCGGCUGGACUCGGCAUUUUCUUAAUUGUUUUUUAAAAAUAGUAUAGCCGAGCGGCUAUACCCGGGUUUUUAAUUUUAUUUUAGGGUUCAGGGUUUAGGGCGGCUAUACUCGUUUUCCCCUAAUUUUUUUAAGAAAUAGUAAAGCCGAGGGAAGGAAUCAAGCCAUAUUGUAGAAAUUUAACAAUCAUUAAUUCAUUGGCUAAAGAUUUGUGUAGCUAGGUUUAACCAAUUCUAAGGAAUUGUUUAAAUAUUCAACAGGAUACCAUCUUGAAUUUAACAUGUGACAAUUCAAAUAUUGAAUAAAAAUGUGAAAGUUGCAUGAUUGGAAGGUGAAUCAUGCAAAUUUUGCAGAUAUAUAUAGUUAUCAGAAAAUAUAUAUAGGUUUAGGAAGAUAACCCAAGCUCAUCUUAGAUUCUGAAAGGAAGAUGAACAAUCUCCAUUUUAUAAUUUUGGGUAUUUGAAUUACCUGAGAUUUAGUACAUAUCAGACAGAGUUUAGUUAACAAAAAAUGGGGAAAGGGUUGUCUGGUGGUGAAGUGAUUAGAUUAAGGGGGAUGAUGGUAAUUAUGGUGGGAGUGACAGUGACUCUAAUUAGAUGUGGGGUGCUUGUGGAGGGCAAUGUGUUCUCUAAACAGAAGAUUCUGGAAGUUGAAAGAAAAUUAACCCAACUUAGAAGGCCUGCAGUUAAAACCAUUCAGGUUUGAAUUGUCCAGAACUUGACAUAAGUUUUCUUCUCAUUGUAUUCAUUUAAUCAGCUCAUAUGAUUGCUUGUAGAGUGAGGAUGGUGAUAUCAUUGAUUGCAUUGACAUUUACAAGCAGCCAGCUUUUGACCAUCCUGCUCUCAGAAACCACACCAUCCAGGUCUCCCUUGUAUAAGUUCUAGUUGAAAGUAAACACAUUUUUCUUCUCUGUGACAUUAUAUAUUUACUGAUAAUCUAACAAAUGCUUUGAGUCUUUUUUCAGAUGGCACCAACAUAUGAUCUGACGAAGGAGACAAAGACAAUGACAAAAAUGGAUAGAUUGAAGAAAAGGAGUGAACAAUCUUCCGUGACAGCAAAGCAAACAUGGAAGAAAAGUGGAAGCUGUCCUCAAGGAACGAUCCCAGUCCGAAGAACUCGAAAAAAGGACCUGCUUAGAGCUAGCUCAGUUAAGGACUAUGGAAGAAAGAAGCACAGUACCCUGUCUCGUCAUGUUGCAGAGCCUAGUGACAACAAAUCUGUCUACCUUCUACGAGCAAACCACUCGGUACAUUAACUUCCCAUUUUCACAUUUUUAAUUGAUAAAUUAAUCACAUCUCAUGAAGAGGGGUUUUUUUUUUGUUGGUAAUUUGUGAUGUCCUCAGAAGGCAAUAUUGCUUACAGAAGGGUACAGUUAUACUGGAGCCAAAGGAGACAUAAAAGUUUGUGCCCCUUCUGUUGAGCUUGAUGAUGAAUAUACUACUUCUCAAGUUUGUCUCAUAAACGGUCCAAGUUUUGCCUUUGAGAGUGUUGAAUCUGGAUGGGCGGUAUAUUAACAUAAACCCUUUCACUUUCAUCUUGAUGCUACUUACUUCUGUUACAUUCUAUGUUCAUGGCAUAACUUUUAGUCCGAAAAAUUACUUGGAAUCCCUCUUUAGGUAAAUCCAAGCGUCUAUGGGGACAGAAAUACUCGAUUUUUCUUAUACUGGACUGUAAGUUGACGUGUUUCAUGACUUAGUUUUCAUGUGAGUAAUUCCACUAGACUUGAUGUGAUUUCUGAUGUUCCUGCAGGCUGAUGGUUCAAAGAAAACUGGUUGCUUUGAUCUUACCUGUCCUGGAUUUGUUCAGACUAGCCAUGAAAUUGCUCUUGGUGCAGCAAUUUAUCCAAUCUCUGCUCCUGAUGGGCUUCCAUAUGAGAUAAUUGUCUACAUCUUCAAGGUCAGCUCAACAGUUUAGUAACAUAACAUGUACAGUUUAGCAACAUAUAUAUCUGAUAUCUGAAAAAGACAAUGUAAUAUUAAGUGUUCUUCUCAUAUCUUCGAUUGAGUUUCUUUUUUAUUUGCUUCCAAAUUUAGGAUCCAGUAACAAGCAAUUGGUGGGUGCAAUACGGGGAGAGAAUUAACAUCGGUUAUUGGCCUCCGGAGCUGUUUUUUGCAUUGAGCUAUCAUGCAACAGGUGUUGAAUGGGGAGGUGAAGUCUAUAGCUCAAGAGUUGGAACUACUCCCCACACAAAAACAGAUAUGGGGAAUGGACGCUUUGCUAGUACUGCGGGAUUUUCAGGUGUCAUAACAAGAAUGAGAAUACAUGACAAUUCACCUGCACUGAAAAUCCCUGAAUGGGCUGAGACUUACAUGGACGAGUUCAAUUGCUAUGAUGCUAUCUAUGUUGAAGACUACGUUGAAGAUCCUGAGUUCUAUUAUGGAGGGCCUGGUAGAAAUUAUAAGUGCCCUUAAACUUAGCUUAGCUAGGAAUUGUUUAAGACAACACAAGUCGAUAAUACAAUUUCGUCCCGAAAGGGAGAACAUUUCCAAUUAUCAAUGUUUACCAAAAUGGCAUAUCAGCUUAAUUUCCAGGUUUCCAAAUGAGGUUUUUUUCUUGGUAGGUAACAUGGAAUCUGUGUUUGUAUGUAGUCGGUAUAGCAUAUCUUAGAAGAAAGUGAGACAGAAAGGUAACAGAGAUGUUAAGCAAAUGUCCACGAUUCACAAUAUGUGACUCUCUAAAUUAAAUGAAGGGACAAAAUGCUGCUAAUGGGAACAUCUUAAUUCACUGGAUAAAGAUAAAACCCGUUUUCUGUACAUGCAAUUAUGUCCAAAUAUUGCACCAAGACAAGAGUACUUAUUAUGUUUCUAUAUUUAAGAGAGGCGUGCAUGAACUGCACAUUUGACAUGUGGAUGAAGCCGCGAGGACUUGCAUCAUAUAUAUAAUAACACAUUAUCUUCUUUCUUUUCAACCAGACAUGCCUUCAUUUGGUUUCUCAAAGGUUAAUUUUACCACCUAAUUAUCCUGUUAAUUUUAUCUAUAGCUUGAUUGUAUCUCUCUGUGUGUACAAGAGUGUAAGUGAGACACAAAAAGAGAUUGAAGAUGGGGAAGAAGAGGGCUUUAAUGUUCUCGUUAGCAUUGGGAUUGUUUGUUUUUUGUGUUAGUGCAGCAGAACAUCACCAUGUGAAGGCUAAAACUAAACGAAUUUCUUUGGAAGUUCAUAAGAAGUUGAAGCUUUUGAAUAAGCGUGGCGUGAAGACUAUCAAGGUCUGAUUUUCUGCCAUUUUUAUUAGCUUUCUGACUAAUCACACUUUCACAGAAUUUUAUCUAUAUCAGAUCUGUUAUACAAUUUUCUUUCAGCAGUCUUCUCCAUUUCAAAAUUUAGCUCAACCCUUUGUGCUAUUGCCUCUGCUGUCUUAAAUUUCACAAUUUCUUCUUUGUUGUGCUACUGCUAUGACUUGGUAAGCUCAGAGGACUGACUGUAUGUUUUACCACUUGAUUAUUUGAUUUCUUGCAGAGUGAGGAUGGAGAUAUCAUUGACUGUGUUGACAUCUACAAACAGCCUGCUUUUGAUCAUCCGGCAUUGCGCAACCACAAAAUUCAGGUCGACUUUUAAACCUUUGUACAUUUGGAGAAUGUAUGAAACAAAAAAUAAAACAUUCUCCAAGUUUUAAAAACGUUUUAAAAACAAUCUCCAAGUUUUAAAAACGUUUUAAAAACAAUCAUGUUUUCUUCCAAAUGUUGAUAUAGUUGGUGUAUAAUAUUGCAGAUGAGACCCAGUAAUCAUGUACAAAAUGAUCAUAAUUCUUCUCAGCUGGUAUCUCAAAUUUGGCAAAGGAGCGGAAGCUGUCCAGACGGAACCAUUCCCAUUCGGAGAAUUCGAAAGCAAGAUUUAUUGAGAGCUACUUCACUUGAAAACUUUGGGAAGAAAAUGCCAGUGCAUUCUUCCUACUCCCCCACAGAUGACAAGGGCACUGUGUACAUCAACAGCACCCGAGUCGAACUCGGGCCUCAAGUCAAUCGUUCAGUAAGCAAACAUCGUGAAGAUUUAAUUAACAAAGUUUACUUUGAUCCUUGUCUAACUUGUGCAAAACUGUGUUUGCUAGGCUGCUAUCCUGUUAACUACUGGAUACAAUUACAUAGGUGCUCAAGGAGAUAUAAAUAUUUGGACUCCAAGAGUUGAAUCACCAGAUGAGUUCACUACUGCUCAAAUCUGGCUUAAGAAUGGACCUGGAGAGGCUUUUGAAAGUGUAGAAUCAGGCUGGGUGGUAAGUAGUAUAUUAUGGUAACUUCAUUUGGAAAAUAUUACUUUUCAACUAUCAGUUCCUCAAAAUCACUCCAUAUAUGUGUAUAUAACUGCUACUCUUUUUUGCUCCUCUUCGUUUGGCUUUGGACAGGUAAACCCAAAGGUAUAUGGUAAUGGAGCAACUCGACUUUUUGUAUAUUGGACUGUAAGUACUUCAUUACAAAAUGAUCAAAAGAACAGGAAAAUGUAGCAUAUAUUAUGUUUGCUCCAUCUGAAAUGUGCCUGCACUUAAUUCUUCUUUUUUUUUUUGGGUUUUUUCAGAAGGACUCAUACAAAUCAUCAGGCUGCUUUGAUCUCACCUGCCCAGGAUUUGUGCAAACCAACAAAGACAUAGCCCUUGGUAUGGUCCUUGGACCUGUAUCAUCUAAAAUGGGACCCCAAUAUCAAACCACCUUCAGCAUCACCAAGGUUUGAAAAUCUUAAUCACUUUUCGUGCAUUCAAAUCAUUUCCAUUGUUAGUCAACGGGAUUUAGCCCAGUGAAAAGGGCUUUGACUUGCAAACCAGUGGUCUCAAGUUCGAAUCCCCAUGGCACAUUGACAGUUGCAUGUGCGAGAAAAACCCAUCCCCUUCCUAAAUUUGACGCACAAAAAAUACAUUUCCAUUGUUGAACAAAAAUGUGAUGGUUUAAAACAUACGUUGUAGGAACCAAGCACAGGAAAUUGGUGGGUGCGUAUUGGCCAAAACGUUCCUGUGGGAUAUUUUCCUGGAGAGCUCUUCUAUUAUUUGACACGCGGUGCUGCAACAUUAGUUGAAUGGGGAGGAGAAGUGUUUAGCUCCAAGGUGAAGCAAAAUCAUCCACACACUGCAACAGGGAUGGGAAGUGGAGAUUUUGCAUCGGGCAAAUUGGGCAAUGCAUGCUAUGUGAAGCAAGUUAGGAUUAUAGAUUAUUCAAAGCAAUUGAAGUACCCAGAAUGGGUAGGCACUUAUUCAGAUGAAGAGUAUUGCUACUCUGCAUUGAACUACGCUCUGUCACUUGCUCAAGAACCUGUGUUCUACUUCGGCGGACCGGGUCGAAAUCCUCCUUAUUGUCCCUAAGUUGUUCAUAAUCUCAAAUGAGGACGCUUAAUUUCCAUAGUUUUUUCUUGAAAUAAUGUCCAAAUAUAUGAUGGCUUGAGCCAAUGUAGCAAGACUAUUUUAUAUUUGAAGCCUAUUGUUAUUGAUUUAUAUGUGAUCAGAAAUGGACUUAUAAUUUUGGUCCCAUUGUCUGCGAUCCUCUUGCAUUGCUCACUGGUUGUGCUUUCACAGAGAUACAUCUACAUAUAUGAGCAUAUAAAAGCCAAAUUACAAGAGAUUUAUCAACAUAAUUGGUCUAAUAGCCCUAUUAACUUUAUUGGCCUCCUCACAUUCUGAGGUUUCGAAUGAUUAGGUUUUUUUUUUCUUUCUUAUUUUAAAUUUGGUGAAUAAUUAAAAUGGAUUUUGAGUUUGGUAAUUAAGGUGAUCACUUGUUCAGUAUUGACAAAGCUUGGAUCGAAAGUAACAUAAAAGGACGGUACAAUUUCUGGAACUUGAUUUUCACUUUUUAGCUUGAACUUCCAGACAACAAUAUCAGAUAUUCAAAAAUGGACAAUUACUCCUAUUACCCAAAUAGUUGCUACCUAUGCCCAAUAACACAAUACAUGAGGGGAAAUAUCGCAUAUUCAGAUUACACUGCUCAGGUUGUGGUAUUCCAGAGGUAUACAAGAUAUACAUAUACGAAGAAUAUACAAUCACAAGAUCAAGAAAUAAGGAAAACCCCAUUACAGAAUAUCAUACCAAAAUGGCCAGGCCACACCAACUUCGAUGAGACCAAUAUCAUUUGCAAGCCAAUGAGAGAAAAUCAGCUAGAUCGAAUCAUGCUGUUUUCUCUCUUCUUGUAUAGAUUGGAAAAUACGAGCAGCUGAUGCAGUUGCAGUUCUUGGAUUGUGUGGCACAACUCUAAUCGCUCGUGUUGGCUGGCCUGAAUCAUGAGGUUGGGCAACUCCUUCUGGAAUUACCGGAGCCAUUGGAAAAAGUUGAAGAGCAUCACUUCCUUCAGCAUUUUGAUCUGUCCCCAAUCGUGCUGUGUCACCUGGACUAUUUGCAGUACUUCCUUGUAGCUCACUGUCGUUAGAUGCCUGAAACAUCAUGGCAUGAGGAAUAGCUCCACUUUUCUGGGAUGGCAUAUUGCAUGAGCUUUGAUGCUGCACAUUAGAGUUUGUUCCCCCUCCUGAUAACUGAUCGAUUUGACCAUGUGAACCAGGUCCGGCAAACCAAUGCAUUUGUUCAAUGCCUGAGCUUGGCAUGGCUGGAUUCAUAACGGACAUGCCAUAUGGAGGAAAGUAAGUAUGGCCUAAUGGAGGAGGGGCAGGAAGAACCCCCGUCCCUUGAUGAUGAUGAGAAGCUGGAACCCCAUAGUUUGGCUUAACAAAGUUACCCGUCAUGGGAGUUGAGUUGAAAGGUCCACAUCCUCCACAAACUGGUCCCAUAAAUCCAGGUCCAUGAUAUGGCUUAUAUACAAGUCCUUCAGAGGGAGACAUUACAGGAAUUAACAACUGGUGUCCAGGUGAUUGAUGGAAACACCAAGGACUGGCUUUAUUAUCAGUACCGACAGGUGUUGGCUGUGGGUUCCCUACAUAUGGCCCAUAAUUUGAAGUCUGACUACCAUUUUUCACAGAAGAAAGAGAUGUUUUCCCAACUGCAUUUUCUGCGGAACAUUCAAUUUUGUUGUUUGGCUUCUCAGGUUCAUGUUUGCGCUUUACAACACGUAGUAGUGGCUUUACAACAUACUCUGAUGAAAGUUUCUUUGCAGGAGAACCCCUUAAAGAAGAUGUGCCUAGGAAAGCAGUAUCUUCAAGCAAAAGAUUAGGAGACCCAGCAAUCAGUCGUUGGACCUGUUGAAAACAACUAGAAAGUUAAAAAUCUACCCUCCUGUAGUCCUUUUGGGGUUCAAAUAGCAUCAUUUAUUCUGUGUUUAUAUAUACAUUUUUUUUUUUGGGACUAUAUACACAUAUAUGUUUAUUUGCAUCUCAUAAUUGCAUUCCAAGAGAAGCAGAAUUACAGGGUCAGAGACUAUGUUAUAGUCUUACCUUAAUGAGCCUAUGCAACUCAAAUACUUGCACUGCAAACAAUCUUUGCUGACUGUAGAAAGUAACAGGGGUUGGAUCAAAAACAUAAUUAUACAACAUAUACCAAAUCAUAUGAAACUUGGCAAAACACAAAACCGAAACCAAUACAAGGAAAAAAAAAGAACUGAACAGAAAUGAAGGAUCAGGCACUUGAAAGAAUCAUUUAUACCAAAACAAUCCUUACUGUGUAAUAUAUUCCAUAUAAAACUCACAUUAUGUAAGAGAUAACAGCCAAAGGACUAGGUGCUUUAAUCACAAAAUAUCUGCUUACCCCAUGAAAAGCACCAUAGCCUAUUAACUCCACAUGACCACACCCCCAAGCUAAUCCUUAGACUUGAUAUUGAUCAGGAGUGCAGGCAAAUAUGACAUUUACCAAACAUGGGAAGAAAACAUCUUAAGGAUGGAUUCAGAAAAUUGCACAUCAGAAAAUAGUUAUAAACAAUGAGGCACAGAUCAGUAAAAUAAUAACAAAAAAUAAUAAUAAUAAUAAUAAUAGUGAAUACAAUAAAAAGGAAAGCUAAAUGCUAAAAACACUAUCUUCAGAGCAAUAAAAACGAAAGCUAAAUGCUAAAACAGAUUCGAAAACAUAGCAACUAUCUGCAAUAUAAAUCAAGAUGUCUGCAAAUCUCCUUUAUUUCACAUAAUUAGAGCUCCAAAUAUGUAAUAUUCAAUCAAAACCAUAUAAGAACUAUACAUUCAGUUGUAUGGAUGUCAUAAAUGAUCCUCGUUACAACAAAGUCGGACAGCAAGCGCAUAAUAGAGCUUUCUAAUUCACAUGUAAAUACUUACAGCUCUUUUCUUAUAGUACAGAAAGAAAGAAAAUACAAAACCUUCAAUAACGAAAAAAGAAUAUGUAAUGAUGAGAAGAAGCCAUAUAUAGGGGAAAUCUCAUAUUCUAUAAAGCAUAUAAAAAGAGUACGCAACCCCAACCCAACAAAAUCUUCCAACACAGGACAUCAAAGCACUACAUAAGAGAUGUAAUCCUCCUCACCACCAUGUCCACCACCAAUUCCACAAUGUCAAAUAUAGUCCAAGAUCCACAAAAUGUAGUCCCAAGGAUAAUCCUUCAUCACUUGUUCCCCUCCUUGCUCCCAGCCCUCAAGUGCCAUGAAGGGAAAAUUUUCCCAGUGGCCAAAAAACCAAAGCAUUACGAAACCGAGACAGGAAUACACCCAAAAGGCAGAUACAAAAGGGCAAUGAAUAAUGAGAUGAUCCGCUGUCUCGGAGGUCGCGUUGCACAAGAUAACUCUAUUAAGAUGUAUGUUUCCCUGCUUUAAGAUGAUCCAUAUCCACUGUUAAAAUGUUAUCGAGGGCCUUUUAACAAAAAGAAAUUCCACUUUAGAAGGGAUCCAGGGACUCUGCACUAUGAAAUAUCACCUCCCUCAAAGUCGCAUUUAAACAAAAUUCAGUCUAUAGUCCUAGUUGUUAUAUUUGAUGGUGUAAACGCUUAUGAAACAAAAAAUCCAAAGUACAAGUGUGGAAAUAUUAAAUAAAACAGAGGUAUUAUGAGACCAAAAUGCUUCACAAGGACAGCAAAACAUGUACUAUAUUUGGAAAAGGGUAAACUUCAAAUUAAGCACAAAGUAACAACUGAAUUGGAGCAGCUAUUGGAGAAAAUAGAGACUUACUUGACGAUUGCUUUUCUUGCCUUCCAGAAAUGUUUCUGACCUAUUAUUCCUACAACGUCAUCGGGAGAGAUAUCCAAGCCAGAUAUAGAAUCCACCAUGGAGGUCUCUGAGACAUCAUCACUUUUGUCUACAUGUCCCAUUUGAGGUGAAAUACACGUUCUAUCUCCACGGUAUUCACUGUCAUUAUCAAGCUCAUUGGGACCACCAGGAUCCUCCCCAGAAUAAGACAGACUUCUUUCCUGGAAAACAGCUCCCUUCUCUACAUCUCUUGUACACUCAACAAGACCAUCACCUUGCCCAGUGAUGUUUGGCUGUGAUCCAGAUCUAGACUCUUGUUGUAAGCAAGCAUCACUCUCAGAUAACCUGCUGAAUCUAGGAACAGGAUAGUCUGCAUACUCUUGAUUUGGAGAUGCACUUACUUCUUCUGCAGGCCCAUCAAUCUUUUGUCUAGUUGAUAUUUUUGUGGCAGAUUUUGCUGAAUGGUCCCUAACCGGGCCACUUACUUUUAUUAGAUCCUCUUCUCUUUCACUUCUCAAUUCUCGUCUCAAAUUGAGAGUAGUUGGGGAGCUUAAUUGUUUUGGAUCCUUCUUGCCCGUAUUUUUUAGUUUCACUGUAUGGCCAGAAUGAGAUGGGCCGAUUGGAGCAAGUUUUUCCUUAUCAAUACCAAUUUGAGUUUUACUAUGACAAAGACCCAUCCUUGAUUGAACAAAUACAGGCACCCUAAAAUCAUCCUCCUCUCCGACUUUCUUUCUUUGGUCGGGUUGUGUCAAGGGCGUGUUCUCAUUUGCUCCAUCAGAUUGACGAGCAUGAAACAUCUCAGCCUGACGACUAGGUGUAGAUGGAUGAACAUGAAGCGGAACAGGCAAAUUUCCUUCAGAACGACUUCCCUGAAAACAUAAAUUGCUCCAGAAAAAUCAGAUAUGAAAUAACCAAUUUUCCCUAUAGAAGCUUCCAAUACUAUUUCUGAAAACACUAUUGAUUUUCCCUUCUUAAAGUGCAGAUAUAGCAAUAUUGGUUAUAUUGGCAUUUUCUUUUCUGGACUGAACUAUAUUGGCAAUAAAACACAACACAUGUACAUAGUAGCAUGCAAAACUACUGGAUAUAGCAUAAAACAGAAUUUGUAGUUAGCUACUACAAAAACAGAAAACAAACCUAGUGAAAUCCAUAACCUAACUAAAGCUUAAAAGGAUAACACUUCAAAACUAAUCCUCAGUAAACCUUAAACGAGAAAGCUAGGCACAAAUUAUGAGUUUACCUGGCUCGAGAAAGCUGAGGGAACCACACUGCUAGUGUUAUUUGGAUUAAGAGGCAUCACCACAGGGUUGAACCUCUGAGAAGGGAUACUGAGCUGUUCAUAGAGCGCCAUCUUAUUCCUUGGAGGUGCUCUUGGCCCUCCUUUAUCUGCAUCAUUCACAUGGAGUCUUGGGAACAUAGGUCCCAUAACCUUUUCUUCGUUCCCUCUCUUCAUUUUCAACACCAACACCAAGUCCAAAAAUCUAUUCUUAUAUUAAAUUCCCAAAACCACCCUCAAAAACUCAAACUUGUUCAAACCCAUGCACCAAAAACAUCUCUUUUGUUGAAAUUGUGCUCGCUAAAACGAGAAUACCAAAAGGGAUCUAACAAAAUCCCAGCUAGCUAAAAGCCUUCUCCUUUCUCAUAAUAGAUCAAAUUCCAGAAAACCCAGAAGCAGACCAGGCUUCUAAAACCUGAACCGACAUAAACAGACUCAGCUUAUCACACCCGAAAAAACCAAGCUCCAAAUUAGGCAAGACCCAGAUGUCAAACACCAAAAGUAAACAGAUUCCCUUUGAAAAAACGAGAGAUUUCUUCACAACCCAGCUGGGAAAAAAGGGUACUUGAGAACUGAAACUGAUGGAGGAACGAACUAAAAGCGUGAAUUGUGGAAAAGAAGGGAUAGGAAUAAAAGAAGAGCCAAGAAAGAGAUUGGGAGUUGAGGGCUGAGAAAGGCUAAGGCUUAUUUUAGGGAUUCCGCAAAGGGAUCGUCUUCUUAGAAAAAGGAAAAGUGAAAAGUGCGGGGGUUGGUUGGGCCCUUGUUUGGGAUAGACCCAGAAGAAGACUAGAACCUCCUCUUAAGAAUAGAAAAAGACCAUAUGUUGCCAUUGCCAACUUGGAAUUAUCUUUUUCUCAAGACUACUCCUUCUGGUAUAAUAUAUUUUUGUCUGAACCAUGAUUAACUCUUUUUUUAACUACUUUAUCUGAACAUAAUUCAACUCAACGAGACGGAUGAGGCCAUUUUAGUUGAGAUCAUAGGAAAAUUGAAUAUACAUGGUACAAACCCAAUUACCUAUGGUAUUUUAUUCUCAAUUCUGAUAAGUGUCUAAUAUUCAUAUUUUUUAUCUCGGUCGCAUAUGAGUUACAUUCGAGUAAGUGAUGUAUGUGCAUGAUUAUAAGUCUUUUUAUUUAUGCAGACGUAUGAUUAUAAGUAAUUGAUGAAAUGAGUCUCACAAUUCACUAAUGUCUAACGAGACACAUGCACAAUGCACAAACGACUGACGAUAACAUUCUCUUAUAUCCUCUCAUUCCUUUUUUCUUUUCUAUUUUGUUAUAAUCUCUAUCUUGCCCUCAAGAUUGGCCAUUUGGGUCAAUUUUGCACUUUUUGAUCCUAGGUGUAGCUGGAACAUAAGGGACACGUGUUAGUAACUUUUUUGGAGAGUGGGAUCUAAAUGGUGAACAGCUUGACAAGCAACACAAAAAGUUUGAUUCGGUAAAAUCUGCAGUCGUCACACACAACCAAAACUAUUUUUAUCUGAUUCCAUAAGCAUUAAACCCAAUACUUUUGCCUUUUAUAAACAUUAAACCCCACAUGAUUUUCUCAGAUAACAUGGACAAUAUCACAAAAUGGUAGUAUAGAAUAUAGAAAAUAUAGCACUUUAGACUAGUUUUGGGUUAGGGGGAAUGUGGUCCACUCCUACUACAAGUAUAGAAGUAUUCAUUUUUCUUUGUCAAACCAAAAAAAGUUUCAAUUUUUCUCAAUUGGUUUGUCGAAAAUGAAAUCGGGUCGGGUUAUCCCCACGGGCUGUCGGCUUUCUCAAACUAAAAAUAAAAAUAUAAUAAAAGAAAUGGACAUAAUAUUUGGUGAAGUGGAGAGAGAACCAGGGUUAGUUGGUUUCAGAGGCAAAAUUAGAUUGGCGUGGAUGGUCCGAUCACAUGGCCUCUUUACCUCCUCCAUAUCAGACACACCUUCCUCUAUCGCCUGACCCAGGUGGGUCCUUUCAAUCAGAUCCAAUUCACGAAAGUUUUCAUUUUUAUUACAAGUUUCGUGUGCCUUUGAUUUUAUGUUCCCUUCGGGGUUUGCUCAUUUGCUUGCUGGGAAAAAUGUGGGAAAGAAAAAAGUAUAUGCAAAAUGUUGAAUCUUUGAUGAUCGAUUUACAUAUAUGCGUGACCCCAAAUGAUUUUGAAGUGGGUUUAUGAAUUUGAACUAAAAAAUAUUUCCUUCUUUUUUUUUCUUUAAUUUUCUGGAGCACCCAUUAACCUGUAAAUUUGAGCUAUUUUGUGUGUAUUGCAGGUGAGAAACCCCUAAAUUCUGAACCCCAGUUGCCGCUGGUUCCUAUUCAUGUAGUCACUCGUGCAUCUCAGCUUCCUGCCGAGUUCCUGGAGCCAUCAGCUGAAAGGCAAUUGGUAAUUGGCUUUGAUUGUGAGGGAGUUGACUUGUGCCGUCAUGGAACACUCUGUAUCAUGCAGGUAUGUAGAGUUUUACUUACUCUGUACUCUUAUGAAUAUUUGUUCCACUUCAAAUUUCGUUCCAAUCAACCUCAUUUAGUAGAUGCGUGCCUAAUCCAAACAAGGACAUAUGGGUUGCUACUAAACUACCACAAACAAAAGAAUUAAUAAAAAAAGAAAAGCAGUUAUUUGCAUCCCAAAUUGGUUGUUGAUUGGUUUCUGAUUGAAUUUCAGCCAUUUGCUUGUAUUCCCUUGCAGCUAAAGAAAAUAACGAGAGUAUCUUACUUAUAGGUCUUCUUUAUUGUGAAUUUUCUGCUACUCAUAUCCCUGGUUCUCGUUCUUGUUUUCUUUCUGUCAGCUUGCAUUUCCAGAUGCUAUAUAUCUGGUUGAUGCCAUUCAGGGAGGGGCUAUGCUUAUCCAAGCCUGUAAGCCUGCACUUGAGUCUAGCUACAUCACCAAAGUUAUUCACGACUGCAAACGAGAUAGCGAGGUCUCUGAUUGGUUUUAUUUGCAUCCCAUCAUGUACCUUCUUGUAAUAUGACAUUUCAUUCCCAUGAUUGAAUUUUUUCCUAUUUUAUAGGCCUUGUAUUUUCAGUUUGGCAUCAAGUUGAACAAUGUUGUAGAUACUCAGGUGAGCAUCCUUUAGCACUGGCUUUAACUUUUCAAUGGAUUGUUUUUUUAAGAGAAACGUUGAUUUAUAAGAUAAUUUUGAAUUCUUUCAAUGGAUUGUUGUUUUAAGAGAAACGUAUAAUGGUAGUUAAAGAAGUAAUAUAAUUGAGAUGGAGAAAAUACUCAUAUGCUAAGUGAUUUGAAAUUUCCCUUUUGGUAUUCAGAUUGCCUAUUCGCUGAUAGAGGAACAAGAAGGGAGGAAAAGAUUGCUGGAUGAUUAUAUAUCAUUUGUGGGCCUCCUUGCUGAUCCACGCUAUUGUGGUAUUAUAUAUUUCGUGGUAUCCAUUUGAAGUUUCUGUUUCUGAUCAUAUUUGAUUAUGCUUUUGGAUUACAUUGAUUUUAUGAAAUUAAAUGAUGCUUUUAUUUUUCUAAGAGUUUCGAAUUAAUAUUAACGGGGAAUUUAUUUGAAAGAUCAUUCUUGAAGUACUGCCUCCAAGUAUUUUACGUUAGCUUAUUCCAUACCAGAAGUUUUCUGGAUGACAAAAUAAAAAUAGACAUGAGGGCAUGGUGCGUUGGAUUAUUAAGUUUUGAUCUUCACAUAUGGCUUCAGUUUUCACCGUAAGAGUUUGAAUGCAGGAAUAUCUUAUCUUGAGAAGGAAGAAGUUCGAUUCCUCCUUAGGCAGGUUAGUGCCAACAUCCUAAGAAUUUUUCUGGAUUUUUUUCGUUUUCUUAUUCUCUAUGUUUAGAUUUUCCAUAUAACUCAGUUUGUUACUAGUCUUCUUAUUGUUAUCUGAUACUAUACUAGAUUUCUAAUAAAAUAUAUUGAAGGUUUAAGUCAGUAUGGUGACUGGGAUGUGAUAAUGAGAUUACAGUCCAAUGAACAAUAGGUUUAGAAUCACUCUACAGUGGUUUUAAACUUGAGGUUAUCAACAGAGCAUUAGCCUUAUAACUUAAAUUUGUCUAUUUUGUUGAUUCAUAUUUGCUUUACACUUAGCAAAGGACUUUAGAUAAAUUUGCUUCUAGACCUGUAGUUUUACCAGUGCAGCCACAGUAUUGUUUGGGACUAGGAUCUUCUGUCAAAUGACAUUUAUUUUAUAUGUAAUGUACAGGACCCCAACUUUUGGACAUACAGACCUUUAUCUGAACAGAUGGUCCGUGCAGCUGCAGAUGAUGUCCGCUUUCUUCUGUAUAUCUAUUACAAGAUGAUGGAGAAAUUGAAUCAACAGUCAUUAUGGUAUCUUGCAGUUCGAGGUGCUCUCUAUUGCAGAUGUUUUUGCAUCAACGACAACAAUUUUGCAGACUGGCCACCUCUCCCCCCUAUUCCAGGUAUCGAAUCCUCCCUCACAACUAUACCAAGACUUCAAAAUGAGAUGAAAUAUUUUGCCUUCAUAUAAAUACGUUCUCAUAUGAAUACAAGCUUAAAGCUAUUAUGUCUGAGGCUGAUGUUCGUAAUUCGGCUCCAAUUGAUUCUGCCACUAAGCAUUAUGUGCAUGUCAUCCAUUAAUGUCCUCAUUGCUAAUUUUUGAUAGAAUUAUGUGCAUGUCAUCCAUUAGUAGAAUCUCUAGCCUCGUAAACUUACUACGGAUACCGUUUUAUGUAUGACAUUAGACCAUAGUGUUUCCCUAAUGUACUUGAGAGCAUACGGUUUUGUUGGAAUGUGCAGCAAAGCACUUUAGAGUGUACAUUUAAUUGAAUACUAAUUGCAUUUCAAAAAAACUUGAAUACUAAUUCAGAUGUUAUUUCUUCUAGCAGAUAACCUAAUAGUGGAUGGCAAUGCUCCGGAGGAAGAAAUCCUUUCAGUGCUUGAUGUUCCUCCAGGAAAGAUGGGACGUGUUAUCGGGAGAAGAGGAGCUUCCAUUUUGUCAAUAAAGGAAUCUUGCAAGUACCAUUCUAUCUCUAUCUCUGCAUGUUUCGGUAGUUUGUGCUCCAUUUUUCUCUCCAUCUCCCCCCACUUAUUAUUACUUCAAUGGUACAAUUUUACAGUGCGGAAAUUCUCAUUGGAGGUGAUAAGGGCCCACCCGAUAAGGUCAGUCCAUUGCAUUUAUAUAACAGUUUCAAAGUAGGCGUAAAAUUAAUCCAAUUUUUUUUUUUUAAAUGAUUUAAUCAUCAAAGCAAAAAACAACUGGAAUUUGGAAAAGUUUCAAAUUCUUUUGUAAAUUUUAUUUGGUUUUGAUGUAGGUGUUCAUCAUAGGACCAGUGAAGCAAGUGAGGAAAGCAGAAGCCAUGUUAAGGGGGAAGAUGAUGGACGUGUACUACUAGAAACAUAUCAUGUUGUCGUCUUCGCCCCUUUCUUUAAAAAUAAAUAAAUAAAAGAAUUCUAAGAAAUUGGGCAUCUUUUCUUUUUCUUCUUUCCGUGCUCUUUUUCUUUUCUUUCGGUACAGAACAGAACCCGUCAUCUAUUCAAAUUGUUCUGUUUAUGAAACGACAUCCUGUUGUGCAAAUAAAUUAUAUAAUUGUCAAACAAAAGGACAAAGUAAAAAAAAAAAAAAAAAAAUCUGUCGUGGCUGAGACAUUGGCAAAAUUAAACGUUUAAUAUACAAAUAAAAUCAUAGUCAUCUAUUGAUAUCUAGAAUAAUUUUUUUGGACCGACUAUGUUAAUUGCCACCACAUUGUUCAAAAGACUGGAGGAUUAAUUUAAUCACGAAGCUGUUUGCAAUCCACUGGAAUUUAUAAAUAAAAAGUGUCGCAAUCAUCUUCACUCACGAUCAAUACAAUCCUCAAUACCACAAUAUCCAUUGACGGAUGUAUGAACAAACUAAGCACACCAAAAGAAAGGACUUUCUCUUCAAUAUUUUGGCCGAGUAGGCAAAAGAAUAUGUAGACGGAAAAAAUGGCAGAAAUAACAAAAUUACUUUUGGAAACCACCGUAUUGGUAUUGUUGGCCGCCGCCACCACUGAGACUUGAGAAGAUGUCAUCGCCUCCCAUUCCCGGCGAUGAUGGGAACCCAGAUUUUCCAAGACCAGUCCCGGAACCCAUUGCUCUACCCAUGUAAUACGAAGUUGGGGGCCCUUUCUCCCUUUCAUCUGAUCCGUCAGUCAAUCCACCCACAAUCCCUACAUCCGCCAGAUUUACCUUCUUGGCUGCAAGUACAUGAAGUGAAGAGGGGAUUACAACAGCAGCCUAAACAUGUGAUUCGAAAUGUCAACAUACAUAGUCUCUGCUCAAACAAUUAUAUAGGCAUACAUUACCCGGACAAUUUUUCUAAAUCUCAACUCACACCUUGAACAUUAAGCAAAAUUUACUUUCAUGUACACACAUAUAAAUUGUGCUCAUGAAAGGCAAAAUGCUAGUUGAAAUGGUUGAACUUACGAGCAGAUAUAUUAAGAUCAAUCAGUCCACGGCUAAGUGAGUCGGCCCAAAUGCCAGAUUUCACCUGGAAAUCCUUCUUGGGUGGACCAUUCAGGUCUGCUGAAGAUUUUUUACCCAAAUUAGUGUCGCUGCCAUCAUUGACAGAACUUUGGGAAGGUUCUGAAGAUGUUGAAUCAGACUGAGAGGUGAAGGCCCCAAAAAUAUCAGAUUCACCAAAAUUGUGAAGUGGAACAGUGGCAAAG
RNAcentral lists this long non-coding RNA (63272 nucleotides) under Prunus persica (peach). Its description in RNAcentral is "long non-coding RNA (PPER_LNC001442)". The record is from RNAcentral. Lineage: Eukaryota; Viridiplantae; Streptophyta; Magnoliopsida; Rosales; Rosaceae.